AUAAUGUUGUUUUCCUACCAUCCGGCCACCAUCCUGAGGUAGGAAAAUAUGUUCCUAACUGAUAGGGCUCGAACCUAGGGCCCCCAAGCACAAAGGAACCACUAGACCACGAGCCUCUCAACACCAGUACAGAAUUCUCAUGGUGAGUAUAGAUUUCAAAGAUUAGUUUAGAAUUUCAGUUACAAAAAUGAAAUAUAUAAAAACUUGGAAUGACACAUAUGGAAGAUGGCAAGGCUCGAUUAAAGAUGUCGCAAAACUCACAAAUGAGAGUCUAGAGGAACACUUACUCAGUGGCUAAUAACUCUUCACAUAGAACCCUUAUCAUUUCUAGUCCACGCUUUACCCUCAAAAGGUUUCUUGUAUGACUACCAACUUUCCUAACACAUUUUGCCUCAAUAUCUCUAUCAACCAUUGCCUCUAACGUCAAUGUUGAGGGUGAUGCCUUGGCAAGAUCAUUAACCUAAACAAAGAUUUUAUUUCAAUAUUUUCAGCCAGUUAGUGGGAACACAAUGAACAAUUCGUAAAGAAAAGACACGAAGAAAAAAAAAGAAUCUAACAUUUCUAUACAGAAAUUUAUAUUCUGUAUAACAAUGUCUUCAAUAUAUUUCAUGAAUACUACUCUCGGCGCCAGAACAUAUAUACCUUGGAAACAUAGUCAUUCUCGGCAAACUUGAAGGCAGGUUUAAGGACGGUAAAUAUGAGAAAGAAGCGAGAGCAAGCGUGAGAAAACAGCUUCACAGGCACGUCCGAAUUUGGCGUAUUCACAAUGACCGCUAGUUCCCCGAAUGCGUCUGCGAUUUCCUUGAACUUCAUCGCUAAUGGCUCCUCUCUCCCACUCUCUCUGUCUCUAAUUUGGUUUCUUCUAUAUAUGGGCUGUAAAUGGUAACAUGUAUUUGUGGAAUUCUUGAGUAAUUCAUGUGGAAAAAAAAACAUGUUUCAUCAUUUGUAUCUGUGGAAUUUUUGUGAAAUUUUUGAUAUUUUAUUAUAGUAGUCCCACUUUAUUCUUUGAUUUAUUGAAUUAAUCAAAACUUUAACAAAUAGAAAACAAGCAAAUGUUACGAGAGGGAAUCAUACAACAAAUAUGACAAUGUGUGAUGCUUUUCAAUUUUGAUACGUUUCAUCAUUUGUGGAAAAAAUACAUGUUUCAUCAUUUGUAUUUGUGGAAUUUUUGUGGAAUUUUUUUUAUCUUUUAUCUUAGUGGUCUCACUUUAUUCUUUGAUUUAUUGAAUUAAUCAAACUUUUAACAAAUAGAAAACAAGCAAAUAAUAUGAGGGGGAAUCAAACAACAAAUACGUAUGACAAUAUGUGAUGCAUUUCAUUAGUAAAUUUUGAUACGUUUCAUCAUUUGUGGAAAUAAAUUACAUGUUUCAUCAUUUUUAUUUUGUGGAAUUUUUGAUCUUUUAUCAUAGUGGUCCCACUUUAUUCUUUGAUUUAUUGAAUUAAUCAAAACCUUUAACAAAUAGAAAACAAGCAAAUAAUAUGAGAGGGAAUCAAACAACAAAUAUGACAAUAUGUGAUGCAUUUCAUUAGUAAAUUUUGAUACGCUUUUUUUGAAUAAUGUAUUUUGAAGUCUGUUUUCAGGAACUAAUAAUUUUUAAUAUUUUUGAUAUUUUUUAUUUUAUUUUAUUUUAUUUUGUGGAUAAUCUUGGAUGUUCGAGUAUUUGGUUCGAUUUCAAUUAUGUAAUUUUUGGUUUUGGAUAUUUUAGUUCUCGAGUUAAGUAUAUAUACAUUCGGUUAUUUUAGAAUUUCGGAUAACAUUUGGUUCGGUUCCGAAUAUUUCGGAGCAUUUCGGUUUUUUGAAUGAAGAACAAAAAAAAUUUCGAAUAUUUUUUAGUUCCGGUUCUUACCCAAACAACAUUUCGAAUAUUUUUGAGAAACUUUAAGAUACUUUUAGUGUAUUGUAUUUUUUGGUUAUUUGGACUUUUUAUUAUUCAGUAUAAAACUAACUAAUGUUUUAGAUAUAUAAUUGUAUUUCGGUUUUAUUGAGGUAUCCAAAAUAUUUUGGUUCCGAUUCUUUCGGGAAUGAAGUUUAAUAUCCAUUUGUUUUCUUUGUCAGUCUCGGUUUGGUUUUGGCGAAAUAUUUCUCUAGCUAAUAAUUUUAGAAGUUUAGUCUAUUAGAUUUUUUAAAUAUUCAGCCAUAUUCAACAGUUACCAUUUGAACUUUAAAUUAUUCAGUCAGAUCCCGCAGAAAAACACAAAUAUAUUCAGCCAGUAUCAGCAAUUCAGUUAGAUUUAAUCAGAUUCCUCGGUUACCAUUUAAACCCAUGAUUUUUCAUAUGAUAUGAGAGAAACCUUAAAAGUGCCAACUUGCCAAUAAUAGUUUUAUAGUUUUUAUUUUGUCAAUAGCAUAUUCUGUGGCCGACAACGAUAAGACAACACCAUCAAACAAUCAGACUUUUUUUUUUUUUUUCUCAAACACCACUUCUAUUAAGAUAUCGGAAAGAGACUCUCCGCUAGGGAGAGCCAAUCAGGAACCGACGAACUUACAUGGGAAAAUAGACUAUUCCUAACCCAAGCUUUUUUAGCUAAACAAUCUGCUCGAGUAUUAAAACUUCGAGGAACAAAUCUAAUGCUAAACGACGGAAAAAAACAAACGAGUGAUCGGAAAGAGACCAUUUCUGUUGCGAAAGAUGGCCAAGCGUCUUGGUUGUCUAGGAUAGAUAUCAUGUCCGAGCAAUCUUGGUUGUAACAGACUGAAAACAUAAGAAAAAGUUUAAAUAUAUUAAACCCAAUGGACUCGAAACUUCAGCUCUCAACUUCAUCGUCUAACAGGUAGCAGGCAGUAGUAGCAUAGUGUGGUUAGUAGCAAUUUCUCAAAUUUUUCUUAUGCAACUUGACAGAAAUUUACUAUAUGUUGACUUUGGUCACUCAAUACUAGUCUUUGUUUUAGUUAUCUUUAUACUUUUUUGACCGAUGCGGUUCCCCAAGUCUUCUUCACGCGUUAAUCGUUAAUUCUUAUCUUUAGAUUUUUGAUUACUUUGGUUUGUUUUCUACUUCUUCUGUUCUUUGGUCUUUGUGAAAUGUUAUAUCAGUAAGGAGACAUUUUUUUGAGUGUGUGUGUUAAAAUGAGCUAAUAGCCUAAACAACGUCAAAGAUAGUCUGGUUUUGUAGCUAAAUUUGUGAAAGAUAAUCUAUUUUAUCGAUUUAUGUCAUUUUUUACACUGGUCCCAAUUGUUGACCGGAAUUUUUUUUUAUUUAUAAAGUUAUUAGUUUAUUGAGUAUUAAUUUAUAGAGGUUUUACUGUAUUAUUGAAUAACAUGAUUUGCUUAGUCUUGGCUCUGAAUUUGCAAAACUUUUGUAACAGACUGAAAACAUAAGAAAAAGUUGAAAUAUAUUAAGGGAGAAUAACUAGAAUGACCCUUAUAUGGGGAUUAAUAACUUUUUUUUUUUUUUUUCCGCAAACACCAUUUAUAUUAAGAUAUCGGAAAGAGACUCUCCGCUAGGGAGAGCCAAUCAGGAACCGACGAGCUUACAUGGGAAAAGAGACUGUUUCGAGAUCGAGCAUGUUUAGCUAGACAAUCUGCUCGAGUAUUAGAACUACGAGGAAGGAAUCUAAUACUAAAAGAAGGGAAAAAACAAAUGAGUGACCGGAAAGAUGCCAUUUCUGCUGCGAAGGAUGGCCAAGCGUCUUGGUUGUCAAGGAGGGAUAUCAAGUCCGAACAAUCGGAUGCGAAGGCGCAAGUAGUAAUGCCUAGCGAGAUCAGACAAUCCAUCGCCCAAAGCAGAGAAUCAAUCUCCGCAUGGAGUGGUGAGAGACUUCGUCUUGAACUCUUUAAGCCAAGUUGGAGAAUAUGGUAUUGGUCGACUAAAACCCAACCAUGUCCACUUAGGGAGUCCUCCAAAUGCCAUGAGGCAUCCGUCUGACAUUCUGAGAUCCGGGAAAGGGACGAGUGGAGUAAAACCGAACCGGCGAGAGGCUCAGGCUCUUCCGCUUCUUUCGUGUUUGCUUUCUUCCAAACAGAGGCUUCUUGUAAGGCCAGAGCCAAAGUCUCCUGAGGAGGUUCUUUAAAAUUUUCAAAGCAGAAUCUGUUACGACUUUUCCAGAUAUACCAUAAUAUCCAUGGAAAGAGUUCCAGAGUAUCCUCUUCUAUUCCGAAUUCUUUCCCACGCCAGAAAAGAAAGUCGAAAUUAUAGAAGAGGGAACUUCUGGGAAAAAGAUGCCCUGAGGUAGGAAUGGGUGAUAAGGCCCAAAUUUGCCUCGAAGGCGGACAGUCAAAGAGCAGAUGGUUUAUAGAUUCUUCAGGACCCCCACAACGAGGGCAUCCUUUCUCAUUGCCAAUAUGGCGUUAGGAUAAUCUCUGGAAUGUGGCUAGACAUCCUGAGACACAUUGCCACGCGAAAUGCAUAAGCUUUGUUGGGGUCGGUUUCCACCCUUUGGCGCCGAGCCAGGCUUAGAACACUUCGGGAGUCUUUCAGAGAUCACCUCGGGGUAUCGCGUCAUUCACUUCGGGAUAUCUGUCUAAUCGAUUUAGUAUACCCGAGCCCAUCGCCUCGGGGAUACUUAAACAAAACGACGAAGGAACCCGAGCUCAAUCGCCUCGGGGGCACCCGAGCCCAUCGCCUCGGGGAUACUUAGACAACGACGAAGGCACCCGAGCUCAAUUGCCUCGGGGGAAACCCGAGCCCAUCGCCUCGGGGAUACUUAGACAAGACGACGCAGGCACCCGAGCCCAUCGCCUCGGGGAUACUUAGACAAGACGACGCAGGCACCCGAGCCCAAUUGCCUCGGGGGUACCCGAGCCUGGCCGCCUCGGAAGUUUCUAAGCCCAUCACCUCGGGGACACCCGAAGAAGCCACCUUUGAAUACCCGAGCCAGUCCUUCGUGUGUACCCGAGCCGGUUGCACAAGAUCCCCGAGGCGAAGUCUUCAUCAUCGCCCGAAGCAAGGACUUAGUAAAUAUUCUUCUCUAAAGGUAUCAUUUCCAAGCACAUUGUCAUUUCCGAAAAAGAAGGAUCAUUUCCGAUAAACUCGGAAAUGAUAAGGAAAAAGCGCGAAGGAUCAACUCAAAUCAGGAAAUCUUCCGAAAACUCCGAAGAAUAAGGAAAUUGUCCUAAUCCGCGAUAUUCUAGCCGACUUCAAGAUAAAUGGAAAUCUUCCGAGAAUAUCGCUGGAGAGGCGGUUAAUUAUCCCUAUAUAAAGAGAGACUCAAGGCUCAAACGAGGGGCAAGCAAUAUCGCUCUAGAAAUUACUCUACGCAAAACUCUCACAGCACAAACACUUUUUUCUUUUACGAUCAAACUCUUGUACGAUCAAAGUCACCUUUUCAUUAAUAAUAUCAAGAACACCAUCUUUGGUAUCAAUCGUUUCUGUUGUUCUUUGAGAAUUCACGAUUAUCGUAUCCCUAAAAUAAAACCCUAGACAAAUCUUGAUUGUGUGAGUUUCGACUUCCACAGUUUGGCGCCGUCUGUGGGGAUACUUUAGAAUUCUCUUACCCUAAGACGCAGAACUCGAUUGCUGAAAAGCACGAUGACCGAAGACGGUCGUCAGACGCCACCAGCUGGAGGAGGAAUCCCGAACCCUCCGAACCCUCAGAACCCUCAACCCGCCGAUCCGACGAUCCUAGCGACUCUAGCCGAACUGAAAGAUCUGAUGGUUAAAUUCCAGAAGAAAACUGACGACCAAGAAAAAGCCAACCAAACCUUGGCGCAGCGAGUCGAUGAGAUCGCGACACGCGGGCAACAAAAAACCACACGUUUCCAAACUCGGCCACCACGAGCUCGGAGGGACUUGCCUGGCAUCAACCCAACGAGACUCACGUUCGCGACACCAACCGGCAACACCAGAGUCGCAACCCGAGCCGACCCUGUCAGGCGCGAGGACCAGGAUGAUCCCACCGAGCCGGACGCAGUUGACUUGACAGACGAGCCAGAUCUUCAGGAUGAGCGUACCCGAGCCGGAGCUAAUUCCGCCGAGCGAACAGACCUUACUGAUGACGAAGAAACUGAAGAAAACAUAAGGUGGGCCGAAGAAUCCGAAAGAGAAGACGAGCUAAGCAAGAUCCGAGCCUCCCUAGCCAAGGCGGAAGCUGACAUGAAGCUCGUCAAAACCCAGAUACAUAGCGUCUCAUCCUCCGCGCCGAACAUCGACCAAAUUUUGGAAGAAUCUCGGAAUACGCCUUUCACCAAAAGAAUUUCUGAGACGACGAUGUCCAACCUGGGAAAGUUCAGAAUCGACUCCUACAACGGAUCAACCGACCCAAAGUGCCACAUUAAAUCGUUCGUGAUAUCUGUGGCCCGAGCCAGGUUCAAGCCCGGAGAAAAGGACGCGGGUCUGUGCUUACUGUUCGUGGAACACCUCAAAGGACCCGCAUUAGAGUGGUUUUCAAGAUUGGAGCGAAACUCGAUUGAUAGUUUCGACGAGCUGUCGACAUUGUUCCUCAAACAAUACUCCGUGCUCAUCGACCCCGGAACUUCCGACGCGGAUCUAUGGUCCUUAUCUCAACAGCCCACCGAGCCAUUAAGGGAUUUCCUCAAGACCUUCAAAUCGACGCUAGCCAAGGUUGAAGGAAUUACAGAUGUAGCAGCUCUCUCGGCUUUGAAAAAAGCUCUCUGGUACAAGUCAGAAUUCAGGAAAGAGUUGAACCUGUCUAAACCAACAACAAUUCGUGACGCGCUGCAUCGAGCCUCGGAUUUCGUCGCCCACGAAGAAGAAAUGGCGUUACUAGCAAAGAGGCACGAGCCGACGAAACAGGCGUCCCGAGCCGAGAAAACCGAGAAAACUGAGAAAGCCCAAGCGGCACCGCCAAUCCAGAAGAAGACGCGUGAAGGCAGCACAUAUACGCAUCACGGAGGGCGCAAUUUCUCAGGAUACCAUAGCUACCAAAUCGACACACCCCGAGGCCGUGGCCGCGGCAGAGGCCGAGGCCGUGGGCGGGGAAGAGAGUCCUUCACCUGGACAAGGGAUCAGCCACCAAACAAUGAUCAAGAAUAUUGCGAACACCACAAAAUUUUCGGCCAUCAUACCUCGAGAUGCCGAAGCCUCGGAGCCAAGUUAGCAACCAAAUUCCUAGCUGGAGAGCUCGGGACAAACGUUACUCUUAAGGACCUCGAGCCGGAACCGGAGGCCGAGCAGACCAACCCAGGAAGAGACCCCGAACCGAGGAACCAGGAGUCUCAGAAAAGAACCCGGGGAUCGGAAGACGAAGACCGAGAUGGUACGCGGCAGAAGGUUUUUACCAUAAUGGGUGGAUCGCCAUACUGUCCUGACACUGUAGCGGCAAUCAAAGCUUAUCAACGCCGAGCCGAGACACCUAGCAACUGGACAAGACCCUUCGAUCGACCUAACGACGUGAUCACAUUCGAAGAGAGCGAGACAAACGGGCUCGACAUGCCUCAUAACGACCCAAUCGUCGUCACAUUAGCGAUAGGAGACCACGAUAUUUACCGGGUGUUAAUUGACACCGGCAGCACCAUUGACGUGAUCUUUCGUGAAACGCUCCAACGAAUGAACAUCGAUAUGUCACAGGUGAUUCCGACCCCGAGGCCUGUCCUCGGGUUUUCAGGAGAAACCUUGAUGACGCUUGGGACCAUCCAACUACCAGUCCGAGCCGGCGGGGUGACAAAGAUAGUCAACUUCUCGGUCACCGAUCGACCUACCAUCUACAACGUCAUAAUGGGAACCCCGUGGUUAAAUCUAAUGCGAGCUGUCGCAUCAACAUAUCAUUUGUGUGUCAAGUUCCCGACCCCUAAUGGCGUGAAAACAAUUUGGGGCAGUCAGAAAAAUUCUCGGAUAUGUUUCAUGGCAGCACACAAACUCCGAAACCCUGUCACUGAAGUAAAGGCUGAAACGGAUCACAAGAAAUCGAAACUUGGCCGGAGUGAAGAGAAGGCUAUAUCUAAACAGUUAUAGCAAUUACAGAUCGAGGAGGCGCGCGAGGAGAAGAAGCCUACCUCGGAUCCUGUAAUCUCCAUUAGCCUCGAUGACGAACGGCCCGAACGAUGUGUGGAAAUUGGCAGCGACUUAACCGAGGAGCUCAAGACCGAGCUCAUCUCAUUCCUCAAGGAGAACAUCGACACCUUCGCCUGGUCGGCUGAAGAUCUACCUGGGGUAAGCAUCGACGUAAUCUGCCACGAGCUGAAUGUUGACCCAUCUUUCAAGCCCAUCAAGCAGAAGCGAAGAAAAUUGGGUCGGGAUCGCGCAGAUGCAGUGAACGCCGAAGUUGAAAAACUCCUGAAGAUCGGCUCGAUCUCUGAAGCAAGGUAUCCGGACUGGUUAGCAAAUCCUGUCGUGGUUAAAAAGAAAAACGGCAAGUGGAGAGUUUGCGUCGAUUUCACCGACCUGAACAAAGCUUGCCCUAAAGACAGGUUUCCGCUCCCACAUAUCGAUCGUUUAGUGGAAGCAACCGCGGGAAAUAAGUUGCUAUCAUUCAUGGACGCUUUCGCAGGAUACAAUCAAAUUCUCAUGCACCCCGACGAUCGCGAGAAGACAGCAUUCAUCACAGACCGAGGUAUCUACUGUUACAAAGUCAUGCCCUUCGGACUCAAGAACGCCGGCGCGACGUAUCAGCGACUCGUCAACAGAAUGUUCUCCGAACAGCUCGGGAAGACGAUGGAAGUUUAUAUCGACGACAUGUUAGUCAAAUCUCUUGAAGAAAGCGACCACAUAGCCCAUCUACGCGACUGUUUCCGUCAGCUCAACAAGCACAACAUGAAGCUUAACCCGGCAAAAUGUCGUUUCGCGGUAAAGUCUGGAGAAUUCUUGGGAUAUCUCGUAACACACCGAGGCAUCGAGGCGAACCCGAAACAGAUCGAUGCUCUACUAAACAUGCCCUCACCGCAGAACAAGCGCGAAGUCCAACGUCUCACCGGGAGAGUCGCAGCCUUGAACCGAUUCAUCUCGCGAUCCACUGACAAAUGCCUGGCUUUCUACGAUACUCUGCGCGGGAACAAGAAAUUCGAAUGGACCGAUCGCUGCGAAGAAGCUUUCCAGGAACUGAAGAAGUAUUUGGCUAAUCCACCGGUGUUAGCGAAACCAAUCCCGGGCGAGCCGUUAUUCCUGUACAUCGCAGUCUCCGACACGGCUAUAAGCGGAGUCAUAGUCAGGGAAGACAGAGGGGAGCAGAAGCCGAUUUUUUACGUCUCGCAAACUUUCACCGACGCGGAAACACGCUACCCGCAAACUGAAAAGCUCGCCCUCGCCGUAGUAAUGUCAGCUCGGAAGCUACGGCCAUAUUUCCAGUCUCACUCGAUUGUCGUCAUGGCGCCCGUAUCGCUCCGAACCAUCUUGCACAGUCCAAGCCAAUCGGGACGCUUAGCCAAGUGGGCAGUAGAACUCAGCGAAUAUGACAUCGAAUACAGAAACAAAACAUGCGCGAAAUCUCAAGUCCUGGCCGAUUUCAUCAUCGAGCUGCCAACAGAGAACGUCCGAGAAGAGUCACCCAACGCUGUUUGGAUCCUCCACGUCGACGGCUCAUCCUCAAAACAAGGUUCUGGCGUCGGAAUCCGCCUCGCAUCACCAGAGGGUGAAAUCCUUGAACAAUCCUUUCGGCUAAAUUUCGACGCGACCAACAACGUGGCUGAGUACGAAGCGCUGAUAGCAGGACUUAAGCUGGCUCGGGGACUUAAGAUCAACAAGCUGCGAGCCUUUUGCGACUCUCAGCUCGUGGCUAAUCAAUUCAAUGGAGAAUACGCGGCUCGCGACGAACGAAUGGAAGCGUAUCUUGCUCUCACGCAAGAUUUGGCGAAACAGUUCGGAGAGUUUGAGUUGAAUAGAAUCCCACGAGGUGAGAACACAUCGGCCGAUGCCUUAGCGGCUCUAGCUUCAACCUCCGACCCAAAUCAGAAGAGGAUCAUACCGGUUGAGUUCAUCGAAAAGCCGAGCAUUGAAGAUAAUAGCAAAGAUCAAGUUCUAACAGCUCGGGAAACGGAAGAACCGGAAGAAAUGGACAUCGAACAGCUGGACCAGCAAACCACGGACGCAACCGAGCCUGAAUACGGAAGCGACGCCAAAUGGAUCGGAGCCAUCCGAGGCUACAUCGCCGACGGAGAAGUUCCUACUGAAAAAUGGGCAGCUCGGAAGCUUAAGGCCAAAGCGGCUCGGUAUACUCUGAUCGACGGAGAACUCUUUAAAUGGCGAUUUUCUGGUCCUCUCCUUGUCUGUGUCGAAGGAAACGAAGCUCGGAGAGUCAUGGAAGAAGUACACGGCGGAUCUUGUGGAAACCAUUCUGGCGGAAGAGCCCUAGCCAUAAAGAUCAAACGCCACGGAUAUUUUUGGCCGACGAUGGUCAAAGACUGCGAGAAAUUCUCUCAACGGUGUGAUAAAUGCCAGAGGCACGCACCAACCAUUCAUCAACCCGCCGAGCUCCUCUCUUCCAUCACUUCGCCUUAUCCGUUCAUGCGAUGGUCCAUGGACAUCAUCGGACCUCUACACAACUCCAAACAGAAGAAACUCGUCCUCGUACUAACAGACUACUUCUCCAAAUGGAUCGAGGCAGACUCCUACGCCAGCAUCAAAGACGCGCAGGUCGAAAACUUCGUCUGGAAGAACAUCAUAUGCCGCCACGGGAUACCUUACGAAAUCGUUACAGAUAACGGAUCGCAGUUUAUUUCGGCUCGGUUCGAAGGAUUCUGCGAGAAAUGGGGAAUUCGCCUCAGCAAGUCUACGCCUCGGUAUCCUCAGGGGAACGGACAGGCCGAAGCGGCAAACAAGACGAUUCUCGACGGAAUAAAAAAGCGCCUCGACGCAAAGAAAGGCCGCUGGGCCGACGAAUUAGAAGGGGUACUCUGGUCACACAGAACCACGCCACGGCGAGCCACGGGAGAAACACCUUUCGCCCUUGUCUACGGCACGGAGUGUGUGAUUCCCACCGAAGCCGAGAUCCCGGGACUAAGGAGACGUUUUCUCCCCGAGCAGGAAAAUUCCAACACACAGAUGAUGCUGGACGAGCUGGACUUAGUUGACGAAAGAAGAGAUUCGGCCUUGGUUCGAAUGCAGAACUAUCAGAACGCAACGGCUCGGUACUACAACUCUCACGUUAAACAUCGCCGUUUCCACGAAGGAGAUCUCGUACUGCGCAAAGUUUUCCAGAAUACCGCCGAGCAGAACGCAGGCAAACUCGGCGCGAAUUGGGAGGGACCUUACACGAUCGCAAAGGUAAUCCGUCCCGGCAUCUACGAACUCAUCAACAUGAACGGCAAAGCGGUACCUAGAUCCUGGAACGCAACGCAUCUAAGGAAAUACUACCGCUAAAAACCUAAGGUACGCAUGUACUCGAACUACGGGGUGGCUUGAUCCCUGAAAAGGGUACGUAGGCAGCUCGUCCUCGGACGAGUUCAGCUACCCCCCCUAAUUAAAAAAGGGGGGGAGUGGGUCCGUAUAUCCAUACUCCCGCUCAAACUUUGUCAAUUAUACGUUUCAUAUACUCCGUCUCAAAUUUUAUCGAACUAUAUUUCUAAGUAUACACCUCGGGUUUUUAUCCGAUCAAAUCCACCUCGCUCUUUACCCCGAAACUCGCCUCGGGAAAUCAACACGGUCUAAACUCCGUUCGGUUCGUUUGGGCGAUGGCCACGCCCGCGAACCAAAUUCAUCUACACCUCUACGGUAACAGCGCGCUAUAUAAGCAUCCAAGACACUUCGGAAGGAGAUAUCCUGCCAUAAAGAAGUUGUCUUCAGAAAACCCAGUUCACUUCUACACUGGUACCCCAGUUCGCUUCUAAGCACUGGCAUCGACUAUAUCAGCUCGGGUCGCAACCGAUAAAGAUUAGUCCUACUUAAUCGAAACCCAGUUAUCCUAACGCUGGUACACGAUUCAUUUCAUUUUCGGCUCGGAAGUUAAGACGUUUGGAUAUAACUUCUCAACGAGCAAUUCUUAAACCCGGUUAACUUAACACCGGUGCAUGAUUCUUUUUUGCUCUCGGCUCGAAGGAUAAAACCAAAUACUUGACAUUAGUUUUGAAUUCAGUUCGGGAAAAAUGUUUAAGAAAAAAUACUUCCGACAUAAUAUUCAAGGGAUAAAGCCAUCUAGGCAUGUCUUACAAAGAAAAAAGAAAACAAAAAGACAUCUCGGGAUCAGAUCGAAUCUUGGUUAACCGGCGAAACUUGAGCUACCUCGGUACCUCGGUUCGAACCGGACUGGUCGGCAACACCUAGCGCCACCGCGGCACCUUCGAUCGAACGGUUUCCGAAGCUGUCAUCAACAGAAUCCGGGGAAACCGGAGGGAGCUUCAAGUCCUCUCGCAGCUCGGUCCCAAGACGGACGUACUCGUCCUCGGCGCCCCCAUAUUCAGCAGUCCACUGAAGGACCUCGGCCUUCUCGUCUUCAACCCUCUUUCCUUCCUCCAGCUCGGCUAUCAGCUCGGCAUUGGCCCGCGCUUGCACCAAGUACAUAUAGCGCGUGGAUGCCUCCCCGAACUGGUCCAUCUUCGCCUCGAUAGCCCUGACCUUCUCGGCGAACUCCCUUUUGGCUGCCCUCCUUUCUCUGACAACCUCCUUCUCCCGGAGAGCCUUCUCCUCGUUGAAUAACCGAUGGAGUCGUUCGACCUCGGCCUCAAGCUCCCUCUGAGUCCGCAAGCUAUCCUCAGAAGCUUUCAAUCGCUCCACCUUCUCGGCUUUGGCCAACGCCUCAGCCUCCUGUUUAGCCGCGAUCGCCUCGGACAAUUUAGCUUCGAUCUUAGCUCGGGACGUCUCCGAUCUCUCACGGGCCAGCUCGGACUUCCGAGCUCCAGAGUCAUAGGCCCGAACCAUGGAGUUCAUCGAAUGGAAGGCCUGAAAUAGAACAAGAAUUAUUAGCAAGUAUACAUGGAAACGAUAGUAAAACAGGUCAAGAACGGAUCGGUAAUACCUUCAAGAAUCCGGCAGCGGUUUCACGGUAGUUUUGAGCCUCCAACAAGGCAUCGGGAGCAGACAGUGGCGGCCCCGAGCAGGAAGCGACAAAGUUCGCCGAAGCGACCUUGUCCUUGUACACUGGAGUUUCGCUACGACUCCUUUUCUCCUUCCUAGAAACUCCCGAGCCAUCACCUCGGGGUCUUUUUCCCCUAGUUUUGGAUUUCGUCUCGGCGACCGGAGCAGCAACGACCAGAGUCCCUACCGCCUCGGGGACGUCGGUCGCAGGGGAGAUGUGUCCGACCACCUCAGGAACGAUCGGAACCGUGUCCCGAGGUACAUCAGUUGCCUCGGCACCCAUAACAACCUCAGGGUUGGCCUCGGGAGGAGUAGGAGGUCUGAAGUUCGCCUCCAAAACGGCUUUUUCCUUAGCCGCUUUCUUUUCAGCAGCCUUCCUGGCUCUCAAAGAUUGCGCGGCUCCUUGCAUUUCGAUGAGGUGAUCUAAACGAUGGUCGGAUGAUUCUGAAGAAGACUGGCAGGGAGCUCCGUGCAACAAACGCAAGGCUCUCUCAAUCCUUUCCUGGGAAAAGUGCUUCGUCCAAUCACACUUCCGAGCUAUUAGUUCGUCGUGGAGUUCUAGAAAACCUUCGGGAAUGUCUUCGAGAAACGACGGGUUCCGAUCUGCAUGAACAAGAGAAACGGUUAGUAAAAAAAAUAUAUAAAGAAGAACAAGACAGCAAAUACAGCUUCGGGCGUAGUACCGAUUUGUCUCCACUUUCCAACAAUUUUUCCUAAGUAGUCCUCGUGGACACUAUACUCAUUCAAGGCUACAAAGAAGAAAUGGUCGGUAUAUUUUUCAUCCUUGCUCGGGAAACCGCCGAUAACCCUCCUAUUUGGCUUCGGAGAUAUGUAAAACCUCUCAACAGGGCCCGGUAUUCGCCGGAUCUCUAGGAGAUUCCUUAAGUGGCUUAGGUCAACUAGAUUGACCGUCUCAAUACUUCGGACUAAAAUCCCCACUAGAUGCCGCAAGCCUCGGGUCGUUAUCUGGGAUAGAGCAAUCUUGUACGACCACAGAAACGCCAAAAUCGGCCUCGGGACUGGAAGCCAGAGGAAGCAAUGAUAAAAGAAUCCCUCGUAGAGGGUUAAAAACCUCUCGGGUGGAUCAUCGGCUCGCUCAUUUGGAGUUGGAAGUCUCAGUUCAACCCCCUCACUGAAACCAAAUCGAGCCUUGAGAUCCCGAAGGGAAUCCUCCGUGCAUAAAGUAGAACCCGGGGGAUCAGGUUUCCUAGCCUUCUUGGCUCGUUUUCUCUUCUGCUGACCCUUGGCUGCUCGGACUUUAGCUUGAAGCAACCUAGCCGCCUCGUCAGAAUCGUAGUGGACUUCCUCGGCCUUAAUAGGAAGUAGAGGCGCCUCGGGGGCGUUUCGCCAGCACGAUACUCCAGCUUCACCAACUGCCGGUGGAUGGGCCCUCCUUCUACUCAAAAUCGCCUCGGGAUCAUCAGGCAAAUCCUGAUCCCGAGCCACAUUUGCAAUCGCAUCUUCCCGAGCAACGAAAUGGCUCGGGUUUCCUUCCCGUGAAGCCGACUCUGCGUCACUCCCCCGGUAUAACACGAUCUGAUGGUCCGCCUCGGGGUCGCUCGAGGAACUCCAGACCUUUUUUCUCUUGUAGACGGGAAGAAGAGUGUCGCCUCGGGGCGAAUCGCUGGAAUCAGAUAGAGACAUUAUCUGGCUCGGGAGAUUAAAGAAGCUGAUCGGAGGAACAAAAAUUUGACAGAUCGGGGAAAUCAACCUAGAUCUAAUGACGGUGGCGCUACGACGGAAAUAUUAACGGAAAAAGUAGAAAAUUCAAGAACUCAAGAUCAGAGAGAAGAAAACGAACCUUAAAAAUUUUUCCGUUGCGAAUGCGAAAUGAAGAAAUGAAUCGGAGGCUUAACAUUUAUAGAGAUUUGGGGCGCGUCGGGUACGAACGAGCCAAAUAAAACGCAUCGAAUCCGCGUCUGAGGCGCGUCGGGCACAAACGAAGCAAGUAAGAUACUUCGCAUCUGCACGAGUCUCGGGAAUCAGCGAAAGGACCUUUCCACUUCUCGAGAAGGAAUCCCAACCGUCACACGCCAAGAGAAGAUGAAACGAUAGAGGAAUCCGAAUCGCCAAAAACUUUAAAAGGACCGAACUAUUCAAAGUAAACGGCUCGGCCUAAAUGUCAUAAAGCUCAUCACGCUUGGUUCUCCAAUCUAACGAGCUGGGGGGCUAACUGUUGGGGUCGGUUUCCACCCUUUGGCGCCGAGCCAGGCUUAGAACACUUCGGGAGUCUUUCAGAGAUCACCUCGGGGUAUCGCGUCAUUCACUUCGGGAUAUCUGUCUAAUCGAUUUAGUAUACCCGAGCCCAUCGCCUCGGGGAUACUUAAACAAAACGACGAAGGAACCCGAGCUCAAUCGCCUCGGGGGCACCCGAGCCCAUCGCCUCGGGGAUACUUAGACAACGACGAAGGCACCCGAGCUCAAUUGCCUCGGGGGAAACCCGAGCCCAUCGCCUCGGGGAUACUUAGACAAGACGACGCAGGCACCCGAGCCCAUCGCCUCGGGGAUACUUAGACAAGACGACGCAGGCACCCGAGCCCAAUUGCCUCGGGGGUACCCGAGCCUGGCCGCCUCGGAAGUUUCUAAGCCCAUCACCUCGGGGACACCCGAAGAAGCCACCUUUGAAUACCCGAGCCAGUCCUUUGUGUGUACCCGAGCCGGUUGCACAAGAUCCCCGAGGCGAAGUCUUCAUCAUCGCCCGAAGCAAGGACUUAGUAAAUAUUCUUCUCUAAAGGUAUCAUUUCCAAGCACAUUGUCAUUUCCGAAAAAGAAGGAUCAUUUCCGAUAAACUCGGAAAUGAUAAGGAAAAAGCGCGAAGGAUCAACUCAAAUCAGGAAAUCUUCCGAAAACUCCGAAGAAUAAGGAAAUUGUCCUAAUCCGCGAUAUUCUAGCCGACUUCAAGAUAAAUGGAAAUCUUCCGAGAAUAUCGCUGGAGAGGCGGUUAAUUAUCCCUAUAUAAAGAGAGACUCAAGGCUCAAACGAGGGGCAAGCAAUAUCGCUCUAGAAAUUACUCUACGCAAAACUCUCACAGCACAAACACUUUUUUCUUUUACGAUCAAACUCUUGUACGAUCAAAGUCACCUUUUCAUUAAUAAUAUCAAGAACACCAUCUUUGGUAUCAAUCGUUUCUGUUGUUCUUUGAGAAUUCACGAUUAUCGUAUCCCUAAAAUAAAACCCUAGACAAAUCUUGAUUGUGUGAGUUUCGACUUCCACAAGCUUUCGCGUAGUUUUUAACUUCCACACCUGUGCCUGAAGUGCCGUAACACCAGGUCCCUGAAAAGGGGGGUCACAGGUAGGACGAGAUAACUCUCGCGCGGCCCAGUAUCCUGAUUUAACAGAAUAGUUUCCGGAUUUGGUAUAGGACCAGCUAAAGCCAUCACUCAAGUAGGUGCGACUUGGCCGAAUCCCGAGAAUCAGUGGAAUAUCAGCGGGAUCAAUCAACGCAUGAAGGCGAUCCAGCUUCCAAAGCUUUGUUGAUUGAUCAAUCAAGUCAUUGACAUAGAUAAGAGGGUCUCUAGUGGCAAGAAGACUCUUGGCAGCUCUCGCAGGAAUAGUGGGAAUCCAUGGGUCCUCCUAGACUUUGGUUAGCAUUCCGGAUCCGAUGGUUCUCCGAAGACCCGAGACAAGAAGAGGUUUGGCAGCCAUUAUGCUUCUCCAACCAUAUGAGGGCCGAUUCGAGCUUCCUAUGUGUAAAGGGUCGCUAAAGCGAAAAUAACGUCCCCUUAAGACCCUACUUAAAAGAGAGUUAGGAAAUCUGAUAAGGCGCCAUAAUUGCUUAGCCAAUAAGGCUAGAUUAAAUUCCUCUAGCGUUCUAAAUCCAAGACCACCUUCAGCAUAAGGUGUACAGAGUUUAUCCCAUGCUAUCCAGUGAAUGUCAUUGCUAUUUUCGUUGGUUUUCCACCAAAAGUUUGCAAUGGCACUACUUAAUUUUGAACGGAUUGCUUUGGGGAGUAAGAAGCACGACAUAACGUAUGUCGGAAGAGCCUGCGCAACAAACUUAAUGAGAACUUCUUUGCCACCUUUGGACAAGAACUUUGCGGACCAGGUAUUAAGCCUUUUUUGAAGCCGGUCUCUGACAAAUGAGAAAACUUGAACUUUGGAGCCAUGAAUCUGUUCAGGAAGGCCCAGGUACGAUCCCAUACCCCCAUCUCGAUGAAUUCCAAUUGUCGCUUUAAUGAUAUUCCGGGUUAAGUUAUCCACGUCAUGACCAAACAUUACUUAAGAUUUAGCAGUGUUUAGUUGUUGUCCUGAAGCCUGGCCAUAUGUACGGAGUAUAUUAAUUAUUUCUCGACCUUGCGUCGGAUCUGCUUUACAGAAAAAUAAGCUAUCAUCGGCAAACAGAAGAUGUGAGGUGGAAGGACUUGCACGGGAAAUUUGAAGGCCUUGAAUACGACCAUUCCAUUCAGCAUCUUUUAGCUUUGCCACUAAUGCCUCUGUACAUAAAAUGAACAGGAAAGGGGAGAUAGGAUCACCUUGGCGAAGACCCCUAGAAGGACGGAUGAUGCCUCUCGGAGACCCAUUUAUAAGAACUUUAUAAGAUACCGAAGAGAUACAGCAGAUGAUCCAAUCUACCCAAUGUUGAGAAAAACCCAUUUUCAACAUUAGGGCCUUAAGAAAAGACCAUUCCACCCGAUCGUAAGCUUUACUCAUAUCUGUUUUUAUAGCCAUGAAUUUUUUCUUACAAGCCGGAUUUGUUCGGAGUGCAUGAAAAUUUUCCUGGGCUAUAAGAAUGUUAUCUGUGAUAAUUCUGCCAGCCACAAAGGCGGAUUGAGUCUCGGAUAUAAGAUCCGGAAGAAGCUUCUUGAGCCGGAGACUCAAUAUCUUCGAGAUAACUUUGUACCCAACGUUACACAAACUGAUUGGUCGGAAUUCCGUCAUCUUUCUUGGUCUAUCCGUCUUUGGAAUCAGACAAAUAUUUGUUUCAUUAAGGCGGUCAUCAAAAGAUCCAGAAGAGUGGAAAUCUUGGACUAAUUUAACCAGGUCUGAUCCAGUCAAGUCCCAGAACUUCUGGUAGAAGAGGGCCGUCAUCCCAUCUGGACCCGGAGCUUUAUCUGGGUGGAGAGAGAAGAGGGCUUUUUUAACUUCCUCCGGGGAUAUCUCUCGAAUGAGCUUUUGGUUCAUAUCCUCCGAGAUCAUAGCUGGCACAUCCUGAAGAACAGAAUGGAAUUCUUGUGGGUCAGAAGUGGUAAAAAGGUCCUUGAAGUAGUCUACCGCUAGGCGCUCGAUACCCAUCUCCUUGUCCACCCACAUGCCAUCCUUAUUCAAGAGACCCAAAAUCUUAUUUCGGGCUCGACGCUGUUUAGUAAUAGCAUGGAAAAAUUUAGUAUUCUUGUCCCCUUCUUUGUACCAAGUCUCUCUGCUCUUCAUUUUCCAAAAGAUCUCUUCUUCUCUAUAAGCGUCACAGAGUCUCCAUUUUAGGGCAAGAAGCUGUUCAGCAGAAAUGGAAUCAUCUUCUUGAGCGCUAUCAAUUUUAUCUUGUAAUUCCUUAAUCAGUUUCUCCGAAUUCGUAGAAUUCGAUUUUUUCCACUUAGAAAUGGAUCGUCUGCAAUUCUUUACUCUCUGUGUAAAGAUACCUCCUUCAAGCGAAGGGAAAUUCCAGCCUUCAUAGACCGACUCCUUAAACCCCGGUUUACCUAACCACCGUUUAUCAAAAAAGAAUUGCUUAAGAGCUCGGGGAGGACUGUUUUGAAUUGAAGCUAGAAGGGGUCUAUGGUCGGAACCCCAUAAUUUUAGAUACUCCACAUUCGUGUGGGAAAAAAUGGAAUGCCAUUCUUCAUUUGCCAACGCUCUAUCAAGCCGGGCUUUGAUAAGUUGGCGCACUCGACGGCCUGAGGGCCCACAACUUCUGCGGCCCACCCAGGAGAAAAGGUUUCCUAAGGAAGGAACCUCGAUCAUCCCGCAAUUUUCAAUCAUACAUCGAAAAGGGAGAAAAGAAGGUUCCGAACGACAUUUACCACCUUUCUUCUCAUGGUUUCCGGUAAUCUCAUUAAAGUCACCAAUCAUAAACCAUGGAUCAGAGCGUGAAAUGCCAAUACGAGAUAACCGCUCCCAAACUAAUUCUCGGUAUUGAACUACCGGAUCACCAUAAACAAAAGUAAUAAAAACUCGGUUUCCAUCAAUAAUAGUAGAAAUAUCAAUAAGCCGAUCGCUCACAAAAACAAACUCAACCGGAUAAUCAUUCGAAUACAAAAGAGCGAGCCCGCCACUGUUACCAAUCGGUUCAACAGUCUUAAGGCAAUCAAAACCUAACGAAACUUGCAUAUUCUGAAGAUGUACAAGAUCGUUCUUAGUUUCCGAUAAAAAAAGAAAACCUGGAGAGUACAUCCGACACAUCUCUUCCAGUCGGCGGGUGGUAAGCUGAGCACCCGCCCCUUGACAAUUCCAAGCUAGAAGUCUCAUGGGUUGGUUGCGGGGGGAAUCGGGGAUCCCACCGAAACACCGGGCGCACUUGAAGUCUUGGUCUUUGAAGACGGGAGAACUCUGCCCCUUGGAACCGAGGCUGCACGACGAGAAGAACCCGGUUUAGACGAACCGGCUUUGUUGGCCAGCCUCUUACUCGGGGAUCUACCUUUGAGAUUCUGGAUUUUUCUUGAGGCCAUAUUGACCAGCAUGCCUGAAUUGGCUUGAGCUCUCCGUUGACGGGCCUCAGACUUUCUCUUAGUGGGCUCCUUUUUACCCAAAGGCCCAGCAAUAGGUGGAUCCUCGGAAACAGACUCCAUCUUCGAUCCAGUCGCCUGAGUCUUCAACGCAGCCGCCGGCGGAGCUGAUGUCAUUGCCGGAACCGUCGUCUGCCCGCUAGCUUCUUGAGUCGUCGAAACCGGACAGACCUGGAGGCUCUCUUCUAUCUCAUCGCGUAGCAGGUCAUCAUCGUCAAAGUAAGCCGCUGCAUCCUCUGCCGUCCAUUCAAGAUUUAAAGCCUCCGAGAGUGGGUCAACGUGGGGAUUGAACUCAGAUCGAGCUAGUUGAGUACCAACUGGACUGGAAAAGGAGACAGCCUGAGAAAACUUCGCAGCCAAAAUCGUAUCAGGACCGGCGGCAAGAAGCCUAGCUUCCUCCUCUUCCUCCUCCACCGUAAUAUCAUACCAGCUUUUGCGUUUUUCCGUCUAGGAUCCAUCAACAGGGGCGCACAGUGGAUUGGAGACAAAGGGAUCUGAGAGGAGGGAGUCGGAUGAUCAAAAUUAAGCGACUUCUUCGCUGAGCUCCCCAUCUCCGAGGAGACUGCUGGGAUGGGAAGAGAUUGCUCACCGACCUUGCCUUUCCCUUUCUCCAAAGCAGAGCUUCUUCUAGAGAGAUGAAGUUUAAAUGGUCGUUCCCUGUUAAACUCCGGGGAAGAAUUUCCUUGCUUUGCUCUUGAAGGAGCAACAAGAGCGUCUGAUACGGUGAGUUGAGAGUCUGAGAUUUGAGAUGGCGAUGGCUCAACUCCUUGUGAAGGUUUGUGACUAGGAAGUUGCGAAGGAGGAAUGAGAGAGGGACCCUUACGACCCUUACUGGCUGGUUCCAUGUUCUUCUCCUGAGAGAAAGAGUCAUCAAAGCGCCGUUUUCGACCAUCCUCACCUCCGCUGCCCCUAGAGACUUCUGAGGAGGGAGGGCGCCUUCGAGACGUAUGAUUCACCAGGUUAGAAGACACUGGGACACGGAGAGAAGUCUUAAGGGACUGAUGUUGUUGCUGACGAUAGCUCCCAAUUCUAGCAGCGUGAAUUGAGGAUGAAAGCAGUUUCUCAGAGGAAUGGCCUGUAGCUAGAGGAAGAUUCCUCCUUCCAUGACCAACACGAUGCGAGACCGAGGGGUCAAGAGAAGGGAGAGGGGGAAUUUUUGAGCUCUCCCCUCUACUGGAGAACCGAGGGUUCCUCUGUUCCUCCUCAGCAAUCAGAGCGCGUCGUUGAGAAGAAUCAAGAAGAGGGCACGAGUCAAGCUCAUGACAGAUACGGCGACAAUAGGUGCACCAUCGAAAGAGCUUCUCAUAGAACAAUUUAACUUUCACCAUCUCGCCUGUGGGAAGCUGAGCGUUCUUAUUAAAGCGGAAAGGAGCAUCUGCUUUAACAGAGAUUUGGAACCUACCAUUGGUAGAGUCCACUCUAUGGACCACCCCAAGAGUGCUGGCAAAGUUCCUUAAGGCUACCUCCUUCCAAAACUCAGCUGGAAGACCUUCAGAUCUGACCCAAAAGGUCAUGUUUUCGGGGAAGGAAGUUCCAGAGUUUGGUACCCAACGUUCAAGAGCAAAUGACCACUUGUUAAAGUGACAAGGGCGUUUGUUCAAGAUCUUCAAGAGGUCUGCUUCGGAUUCAAAGAAGAACUGAAACCGAGACUCACCGAGAGAAACACCUCUAACACGUCCUUCAACGUCCCAGAUGUGUUCUUUAGGGAGAAGGGAAACAAGAGCGUCGAUGCUCCGACCACCUUGGUGAAACAUCCGUCCCACCAAACUCAAGUUAAGGCGAGCUAGAAUAGCAGUGUUAUCAACCGGAGGGAGAAAAAAGACAUCCUCUUCAUCCUCAGGUUCAAAAGCAAAGGGAGCUUGUUUUGGAGGAGAAUCCCUAUACCAGCUUGGUCUCUCUCUCUUAGACAUGGUUAGAGAGUAAAAGCACAGAAAAAGAAGACAGAAUCUUAGCUUUACGCUAGAAAUAGUGAGUGGCGCUGCUAUUGCAGGAGAUCUUCAAAACGGAGUACAAAUCUUGACUCUCACAGACUAGAUUGGGAAAAGCAGAGGAAAGAAGAAAAACAGAGAUCAAAGGGAAAAGAGGCGGUGAAGGGAGAGGAGAGGACACAAUGGACGCAGCGAUCUAGAAGAGAGUCCAUUGGAAAACCUAUGGGGAUUAAUAACUAGAAUGACUCAUAUCUUUUAAUAAUAAUUAGAGUGUUUUCGUUUUUUUUAAUCCCCAAAAUACCCAUAUAAAGCUUUGUACAGAAAAUCAUAAUAACAAAAAUGCCAUUAAAAAAAAAUGCCAGCUAGGCAAAAGUUACCGUUAUUUACAGAAAAACCUAUCAUUAUUUACAGUUUUGCCACUGAUGUUUGCGAACUCAAAUAAAUCUGUAGGAAAAAUCUGCCACCGAUUAUAGAAAUCUGCCACAGAUUUUAUAAAUCUGCCACCGAUUUAUAAAUCUGCCACACAUUUAAUUGUAUCGUUAUCGCUGACUUCUUUUCUUGCCGAUUUGUUUUUGAACCACAGAUUUGUUCUACAGAUUUAUUUCUACCACAUAUUUAGUAUACAGAUUUUUUCAUAGGUUGCUACCGAUUUAUAGGCUAUUACAGAUUUUUUGUCUACCACAGACUUGUCUUACAGAUUUUCUUUGAAGACAUCGCAGAUUUUAUAGGUUUCGCAGAUUUAUUUCUACAGAUUUGUUUUUCCUACAGACUUAUUGUCAAUCACGUUUCUGCAGACUUAUUAAUAGUACCUACCGACUUAUAUUAAGUCUGUACGUUGUUGCAGAUUUGUUACUGCAAAAGAUAAUAACUAGACUGACUCUUAGUGAUCACAGAGUUUUACCUCUUGACGGUAGAUAUAUUAUGAAUCACAGAUUUAUUUCCCAUCAUCACAGAUAUAUGUGUCGUAGUUGUCGCAGACUUAACUACCUUUUUAGUUGUCACAGACUUAUAUUCUACAGACUUAUAUUCUACAGACUUGUUGUUACACUUUGACCGCAGAUAUAGUUUUACAGACUUAUUUGAAGACACCACAGAUUUGUUUUCUAGAAUCUAAGAUAGAGAAAUCUGGAUCGUCCGAUUUAGGGUUUGACCAAUCCUUAGCUUAUCUUAGAUUUAUUUGGUCUAGAUUUAAGUUAUCGCAGAUUUAUUUUGUCCUUCCAUUUAAAUUAGGGAAAAAACUAGUUUGACCCAAAAAUAAGGUUUAAUUACUAAAAUAACUCAUAAAAUGUAUGGGUUAAUCUAGUUAUUUUCCUGACCAAAAUACCCUUUGUCUCUUUGUUAGGAAAAAAAAUAAAGUCAAUAAUACCCUCUGAUUUUUCUUGAAACGUGGGUGAAAUUUUUUCGAAAAACCAAAUCUGCCGUUAAAAGUCUGUGGGCGUCGUUGUGACAGAUUUAUUUUCUCUGACAGACUUAAUAGUCUACGACAGAUUUUCUACAGCAGUUUUUUUCCUCCCACAAACUUAUUUGAAUAUGGUUACGACAGAUAUUUAAUUUGUAGCAGAUUUUUUUCCUUUGCCAGACUUAUUUUAUGAUGACGUCUCAGACUUUCGUAAUUUUGACAGUUUUAUUAUAAUAUGUAGCAGAUUUUUGUUUCUAGUGGCGUCAGAUUUAUAUUUUUUGGAAAAAAACUGUCAUAAUACAGCAGAUUUGUUAAUAAAAAAUAAUUACUAGUUUGACUUUUUAGUGCUCACAGAUUUGUUUUACGUUAUGACAGAUUUUUUAAUGUUAACAAAAAAUCUGGAAUGUUAUAGCAGAUUUGUUUUAAAAAAAUUAAAAUUGCUAGAAUGACAUAUAGUCGCAACCGAUAUGUUUAACGUUAUGACAGAUUUUUUUUAUGUUAUGCCAGAUUUAUGUUUAAUUCACAAAAAUCUGGUGUUUCAUAGCAGAUUUCUUGAAUUAAAAAUAAAUUAUUGGAAUGACCUAUUUAGUGACAACAGAUUUUUUCAUGUUUUGACAGAUUUUUAUUUUAUCAUGACAGAUUUAUCGGAUCUUAUCACGACAAGAUUAUGUUUGGCAAUUUUUAAAAAAAUCUGCAAAAUUAGGAUAUGGCAGAUUUAAUUUUAAUGUAGCAGACUUAUUAAAAUUAAAUGUCAUAUUUGAUUUUUAAUUUAAAAAAACGAAUUUGGUUUUUAUUUUUAAAGGAAAUGGCAUAAUGAAAGGUUAAAUAGUCUUUUUACAUAAAAUUUGGGUUAGUCUAGUUAUCCAUCUGGAUUGAGAGUCAUUCUAGUUAUUUUUGCUAAGUUUUGAGUCAAACUGGGUAAAUUUGACUUUAAAUUAUCGCAGAUUUAUUUGGUCCCUAUUUUCAUCAUUGUGGUGUAGAUUUAAGUUAUCGCAGAUUUAUUUGGUCUAUAGAUUUAUGUUGUCACAGACUUAUUUGGUCCCUAUUUUCAUCAUGCCAAGGGAUUUUGCACUUCCAAUACCAGAGCAUGUUGCGACUAAAGUGUGUUCGCCACCUAUUCCGAAACAACAACCAGGUAGGCCUAAAAAGUCAAGAUUUAAAUAUGUCAGAAAGCCAUGGAGAAUAAGAGGCCUAGGAAACAACACACGUGUACCAGUUGUAAUGAAACUGGGCAUAAUCGUAAAACAUGCAAGAAUGCAUAAACUUGAUGAAGUAAUCUCUGUUCUAAACUUUUGUUGUAUUUUUCAAACUUGUAUGAGUGUUGUUGUUGAACAUGUAAGACGUCUGUAUUGACAUGUCAAACUUUAAUGUGUUAUUGUAGAACAUGUGUGUUGUUAUGGAACUUGUAUGUGUUGUUAUGGAACUUGUAUCUAUAAGAAUUCACGUCUUACAUGUUCUAAUAAAAUUCUGUGGUUACAAUGACACUCAGAUAAAAUAACUGGUUCACACCAAAAAAGUCGGUGGUAACACCUGCAACAAUUGGUUCACACCAAAAAAGUCUGUGGAAACAAUAACAUUCCUAAAUAAGAAAACUUGCAACAUCUGACUCAAAACCAAAUGCAACCACGACCAUAUCAUAAAGAGACUCAUUCUGAGUGAUCAUUGAGAUAAGGGAUCUCGAACUCUGCACGACGAGGCAAUGGAUUAGUCAAUGCUACGUCUCCCGUCGGUGGAACUUCCUCAAACAUCUCAGCUCCUAAUCUAUCCCGCAAUGCCUGAAUGUUCCCAUCGUUAAGUCCAUCAAACUGCCAUCCUAAGGCUAAGCACUUUUUUUCUUCUCCAGAAUCCUAGAUGCAUUUUUCAAAACAAAUCUGUGAUCAACGAAUCAAAACUGUGGACAUACUUAAAACAAGUCUGUGAACAUAUUAAAAAAAAUCUGUGGUUAUGUCAAAACAAAUCUGUGGUGAUACUAACAAAUCUGUGUCUUAGUAAACACAAACCAGCGAAAUUCAUAGUCACUGAAGUUAACUCCACCGGAAUCUAUGUUGAUGACUAGACAGAACCCAUCGAGAACCAAUAAAUCUGCAAUCAAAACAAUGCAACCAACAAACAAAUCUGUAAUGAUAAAUCUGCAAUCAAAACAAUACAACAAACAAACAAAUCUGUGAUGAGCAGCAAUUAAAUCUAAAAACACUAACAAAAGGAUAUGCAAUCAAAAUACAACCAACAAAACAAUGCAACCAACAAAGAUACUCGCAAUAUGAUCCUGCAAUAGACAUUAAUAAAAUUGUUAUUACUUAAAACAUAUCUGCGAUGAGCAACAAAUAAAUCUACGAAAACGAACAAACAAGUCUGUGAUGAGCAACAAAUAAAUAUGUGAUAAUUAACAAAUAAGUCUGCCGUCAAGACUGACAUUUCAUCGAACACCUUUCAUGCAAUAUGUUUUUCCAACUCAUUUUAUAAAAAUAUAAACCAUAAAUCAAAGGAAAACCUCAACGUUGCUGCUGCUGGUGACGUAAUCCGACAUAGAUGUUGGCGGCGAAGCCUAAGAAGAUGAAGUAGAAGCGGCGGAGAAGAGAGAAGCGAUGGUUUCCAGCGGAAAAGGGAGAAGCGGUAGAGAGGGCAAGAGAGGAGAAAGAUGAAGCGGCAGGUACUGGUGGACAAAGCCGGACGGAAGCACAGCGGUCGGAGUUACGACAAACGGAAUUUAGAAGAGAGGUGGCGGCUAGGUUUUGGAGGAAGAGAGAAGUGAAGUGUCGAGAGAAAAAUGUGAAAAAGAAAACAUGAAUUUUAGAUUUUAAUAUUUUUCUUUCUUUUUAGUUUACUUUUUACUAAAAAUAAUUCAUAAUGGCAGUUUUGUUAAUGUUAAAAAAAGUGGUUAGAAUGUCUUUGUCAAAAAGAUAUGGGUUAGUCUAGUUAGAGCUCCCAGAACUGAGUCACUCUAGUUAUUUCACUACAAAUAUGGGUCAUUCUAAGUAAUUAAAGUAACGAACUUUUACUUUCAUUUCAGAAAUCAAUCGUUCUACGUUUUUAUCAAUUGCUAUAAUAACGAACUUGUGCAAUCUUAUAUAAUAUUGUUGGUGUCGGAUCCCGCACCAGAAGUACGAGACCAACCAAAGAUUGCCACGUAAUCAAGAUAAUGGCCCAUAAAGGAUGAAGCCCAUUGGACCUGUGAGCCAAAGGGACGGUCGAAGUGGUUGUCACCAUUUCGAGAAUCCGAAGUGACUGCACUGUGACACGAGUUCGGUGUAGAAGACACGGGAAAGUCGGUUCAAGGACACUUGGGCCAAAAGAGGCGAGGCCCAUAAAGAUCAGAGUCAACUCAAAUUCAAACGUUGAGCAUUAAAGUCGAAGAAUCAAAACGGACACAUUUAAGAAGGAAUAAUUGUACUUAAUUUCUCAUUUUAAUGUCGUUUAUCUAUGUAUAAAUAUAGAGGCCAAUGGCCAUGUAAAGGGGGGCUUCCUCUCAAAAAAGAAAUACAAUAGCAAUUCUCGUAGCAAUUUAUAAGUUUUUACAUAUUCAUUUUUUGUCCCUCAAGAAUAAUCUUUCCUACUUAAUAAAAUACUUGAGUGUGUGAAUCCGACAUCCACAUUUUGGCGCCGUCUGUGGGGAUCGAAGGUUCUUGAGUGGUCAGAUUUUUUCUUUUUCACACUUCCGAGAUAAGCAACAAUGUCCGGAGGAGACGCCGCUGAGACAUCAUUGGCCGAAACCCUCAAAGCUAUGCAGCAAACCAUGUCGGACAUAUCACAAAAGUUCUCGGAUGUGGAAAAGGCCGUCGAUACGUUGCAAACAUCCCAGGUAUCUCUUAGUCAAAACGUCAAUACUAUACAAACUCGUGUUCGUUCUUUAAGUGCAGGAAACCCGAUGGGAAUCCGAAGAGAGAUAUUCAACUCGCCAAGUUCCGCUGCACGAAAUGAAACCAGCGGACAAACAACCCCCGGUGCUACUAAUAAUGUAGCUCAGACGUUGGAGGAAGAGACGCAGCUCGGGGAUGAAGAACAACUUGCAGCUCAGUACGAGCAGGAGAACCUCGACCAGUUCGAGACCAUGAGGAAGGUUAGCCAGGAAUUAAAAGAAAUGAAAUCAAAAUUUCAUCAAGCUACAAGUUCAGAGCCAGACAUCAAUCGAGUCAUUGAAGAGGCUAGGCGAACACCUUUCAUCUCGGGAAUAGCAAGUUUGAGGAUCAAAGAUUCCCGAAAACUCAAGUUGGACCCUUACAGCGGAUUGGAGGAUCCAAAAAACUAUCUCGCAGCUUUUCUGAUCGCUGCAGGAAGAGUCGAGUUGGAUGAAGCUGAUGAGGACGCAGGCUACUGCAAGCUUUUUUUCGGAGAAUCUAUGUGGCCAAGCUCUAAUGUGGUUCACCCAAUUAGAGCCGGGUUCGAUCAGUAAUUUCGACGAACUAUCAGCCGUAUUCUUAAAGCAAUACUCCAUCCUUAUGGAUAAAAGCGUUUCAGAUGCCGAUCUUUGGAACUUAUCGCAAGGAUCUAAUGAGUCACUUCGAUUUUUCAUCACCAAAUUCAAAGGAGUGCUGUCAAAGCUCCCAAGAAUCUCGCAGCAAUCAGCUUUGUCUGCCUUACGAAAAGGAUUGCGACAUGAUUCAAGGUUUAAAGAAGACUUAAUACUUCAUAAACCAGACACAAUUCAGGAUGCACUCUUUCGCGCGAACAACUGGAUGGAGGUAGAGGACGAAAAAGAAAGUUUUGCCAAAAGAAAUAAGCAAGAAAAGCCAGCAAUCACCGUCCCUGCCAGGAAGUUCGAGCCUAGGGAGAGCAAGGGACCAAAGAAGUUUGGGUCGCAACCUUUCAACAAUACCGUUGGAAAGCAAUUCCAAGGGAAAGGAAGAUCAAACACUUGGGUCCGUGAUGAAAGUCUAUAUUGCGACAUUCAUAAAGUAACCGGACAUUUAACCAAGGAUUGCAGCGUUCUUAAAAAGCACCUCGCAGAACUUUGGGCUAGUGGCGAUCUUUCCAAAUUCGAUAUAAAAGAGUUUGUGAAGGAAUACCACAAAGCAAAGGAAAACUCCAAAGAUCAAGAUUCCAAAAGACCAAGGUUAUCCAACGAGGAAGAACCAAGGAGUUCGAAGGGUAAGAUCAAUGUGAUUCUAGGAGGUUCCAGAUUUUGCGGAGAUUCAAUAAGUUCCAUCAAAAAACAUAGACGAAAUGUCUUACUCAAAGCAAGCUUGAGCGAAGAAAUUGAUUUUCAAGGUGCUUCAAUAUCAUUUAACGAAGAAGAAACGCGGCAUCUCGAAAGACCGCAUGACGAUGCUCUAGUCAUUACUCUUGAUGUCGCUAACUUCGAAGUAUCAAGGAUCCUUAUAGAUACAGGCAGUUCGGUCGACUUGAUCUUUUUAAGUACUCUAGAAAAAAUGGGAAUCAGCCGAGGAGACAUAGUAGGACCCCCAUCUCCGUUAGUUGCGUUCACAAGCGAAUCAGCCAUGUCUCUCGGAACAAUCAAGCUACCAGUCCUUACCAAGAAGGUAUCGAAGAUCGUGAACUUCGUUGUCUUCGAUAAGCCCGCAGCUUACAACAUCAUCCUCGGGACUCCCUGGAUUUAUCGAAUGAAAGCAGUCCCCUCUACAUACCAUCAAUGUAUCAAAUUUCCAACAUCAAAUGGGGUGGAAACAAUUCGGGGAGAUCAAGAAGCUUCACGGACGUGUUACUUAGCUAGCCACCGUUUGAAGAUCCAAUAACAAUUAACAAAGCCCGCAAAAGAAGGACUAAGGCAAAAAUUUCCUAGUGGGCAGGGAAAGGAGGAUGUGGUAGUCGAAGUUGUAUUGGAAGAAGACAAACCAGAUCGGAAAGUUCGAAUUGGAGCAACAUUGACUGACCAAAUAAAAGAAGCUUUGAUCGAACUCUUAAGGAAAAACAAAGCAUCAUUUGCAUGGUCAGCAGCGGACAUGCCUGGCAUAAAUCCAAGUAUAAUUUGUCAUGAACUAAACGUGGAUCCGAGCUUCAAACCGGUGAAACAAAAAAGAAGAAAGCUUGGAGUAGAGCGAGCAAAAAUAGUAAAUGACGAAGUGGAUAAACUUUUGAAGAUAGGGUCCAUAAGAGAAGUGUAAUAUUCGGAAUGGGUAGCAAACACUGUCGUCGUCAAGAAAAAGAACGGGAAAGAUAGGGUUUGCAUCGAUUUUACAGACCUGAAUAAAGCAUGUCCCAAAGAUAGUUUCCCGCUCCCGCAUAUAGAUCGACUUGUAGAGUCCACCGCUGGAAAUGAGCUGUUAACGUUCAUGGACGCCUUCUCGGGUUAUAAUCAGAUAAUGAUGAACCCCGACGAUCAAGAAAAGACGUCAUUUAUCACAGAUAGAGGUAUCUACUGUUACAAGGUAAUGCCUUUUGGUUUGAAAAAUGCAGGAGCAACUUACCAACGGUUGGUGAACAAAAUGUUUCACAAUCACCUCGGGAAGACUAUGGAAGUCUACAUAGAUGAUAUGUUGGUUAAAUCGUUAAAAAAAGAAGAUCAUGUUAAACAUUUGGAGGAAUGUUUUGAUAUUCUUAAUAAAUAUCAAAUGAAGCUGAACCCGGCGAAGUGCACAUUUGGAGUCCCAUCCGGAGAAUUUCUUGGCUAUAUCGUGACAGAAAGAGGGAUUGAAGCCAAUCCAAAUCAAAUUAACGCCUUUCUAAACAUGCCAUCUCCAAGAAACUUCAAAGAAGUACAACGGUUGACUGGGCGGAUUGCGGCUUUGAAUCGUUUUAUCUCGAGAUCAACAGAUAAGUCUUUGCCUUUCUACCAAAUUCUAAAAGGGAACAAAGGAUUCCUUUGGGAUGAGAAGUGUGAAGAAGCUUUUGGGCAGCUUAAGGCAUACUUAACCACUCCACCUGUACUGUCCAAACCGGAAGUGGAGGAAAAACUUUACUUGUACGUAUCAGUUUCAAACCACGCGGUUAGUGGAGUCUUGGUUCGGGAAGACCGUGGGGAGCAGAAACCAAUUUACUACGUGAGCAAGUCAAUGACGGAUCCGGAAUCCAGAUACACAAUGAUGGAAAAACUUGCACUCGCGGUGGUAACUUCGGCUCGGAAGCUGCGUCCAUAUUUUCAAUCCCAUCCGGUUGAAGUAUUAACUAACCAACCGCUCCGAACAAUACUUCAUAGUCCAAGUCAGUCCGGACGUUUGGCGAAAUGGGCGGUGGAAUUAAGCGAGUACGACAUAGAGUUCAAAAGCCGGAUCAGCAUGAAGGCUCAGGUUCUAGCAGAUUUCCUGACCGAACUACCAAUACCUGGAACGAUAGAGCAACCGGAGAACCAAACUUGGAAAUUACACGUAGACGGGUCUUCAACAAAACAAGGAUCCGGAGUGGGAAUCAAGUUGGAAUCUCCAACGUCAGAAAUUCUAGAACAAUCGUUCCGAUUGUUAUUCAAUGCCUCCAACAAUGAGGCGGAAUACGAAGCCCUUAUUGCCGGACUUCGACUAGCACAAGGAGUUGGAGCUAAGGAAAUACUGGCUUAUUGCGAUUCGCAAUUAGUAGUUAACCAAUUUAAUGGAGACUAUGAAGCGAAAGAUUCAAGAAUGGAAGCGUACCUUGAAGUGGUAAAGGAUUUAUCUAGGAAUUUCUCGAAAUUCGAAUUAAUCCGCAUACCUCGGGGAGAGAAUACAACUGCAGACGCACUUGCCGCAUUGGCGUCAACAUCAGAUCCUGAGUUAAAGAGAGUUAUUCCAGUAGAAUGCAUCUCGGAGCGAAGCAUUCAGGACAGCAAGGAAACCCUCGUCGUCACAAGGUCUCAAGCAGCGGCACGUGACCGUGGCGAACCAGAGAUCGAACCGCCACCCAGCAAACGCAGAAAAUCAAAGGGAUCAAAUACAUCUAACAAGGAACCCGUUGUCUUAGCUGAAGAAGUGAUUCCAGAAACGAUGUUAGAAACCGAGCCAUUAAUCGAAGAGAAUAUUCUUGAACCAAACGAACAUCCCGAACCAGAGCCACGGAUAUUUCACAAAGUUGACCAAAUUCCGGCUAAAGACUGGGGGGCUGACUGGAGGGAGCCAAUAAAGCACUACAUCAUGACAGGUGAGCUCCCAAAGAAUAAAUGGCAGGCCAGGAAAAUGAAAGUCGUUAGCGCGAAAUUUUGUCUGUCAAAGGAUGCGUUGUAUAGACGAGGUGUCAGUGACCCUUACCUAUUAUGCAUUUUUGGGCCCGAAGUCGAAAUCGUCAUGAGCGAGGUGCACGAAGGAUUGUGUGGGAGUCAUUCAUCAGGAAGAGCUAUGGCUUUUAAAGUUAAAAGAAUGGGGUAUUUUUGGCCCACUAUGAUCACAGAUUGUGUUAAGUUCGCCCAAAGAUGCAAGCGCUGCCAACUCCAUGCACCAUUGAUCCAUCAACCGUCGGAAUUAUUCUCCUCCAUUUCUGCCCCAUAUCCGUUUAUGAGGUGGUCAAUGGACAUCAUUGGGCCAUUGCACAAAUCAACUCGAGGUGUACAGUACCUUUUAGUCCUUACGGACUACUUUUCAAAAUGGAUUGAAGCUGAGGCGUAUGUCGGUAUCAAGGAUUCGGCGGUGAAGACCUUUAUUUGGAAAAACAUUAUAUGUCGACAUGGAGUUCCAUACGAAAUAGUCACUGAUAAUGGGCCACAAUUCAUUUCACACGAGUUUGAUGCCUUUUGUGCGGACUGGGGAAUCAAAGUUAGUUAUUCUACUCCACGAUAUCCGCAAGGAAACGGACAAGCUGAAGCCGCGAACAAGACAAUAUUAAGCAAUCUCAAGAAACGCUUAAGUCAUCUAAAGGGAGGAUGGUAUGAAGAACUCCAACCCGUCCUGUGGGCCUAUCGUACAACCCCUAGGCGACCUACAGGAGAAACUCCAUUCUCUUUGGUUUAUGGCAUGGAGGCGGUAGUACCAGCUGAACUCAAUGUGCCCGGACUUCGUCGAACAGAAGCACCGUUAAAUGAGGAAGAAAAUUCAGCAAUGCUUAAUGAUUCACUAGAUACCAUAAAUGAAAGGCGUGAUCAAGCUCUAAUUCGGAUCCAGAAUUACCAACAGGCAGCAGCCCGGUAUUACAAUUCUAAGGUUAAAAGUAGGCCGUUCUUCGUGGGAGAUUAUGUAUUAAGGCGCGUCUUUGACAAUAGAAAAGAAGAAGGUGCCGGUAAACUCGGUAUUAAUUGGGAAGGACCUUACAUUAUUACCGAAGUGGUUCGGAACGGUGUUUAUAGGUUGAAAGACUUAGAAGACAAUCCAGUCAAGCGACCUUGGAAUGUGAUCAACCUAAAGAAAUUUUAUGUUUAAAGCUACAUGCAUUGUUUAUGUACAUGAACUACGGUGUGGCUUGAUCCCGAGAUGGGUACGUAGGCAGCUCGAAAACGAGUUCAGCUAUUAAUAAAAAUUUGUUUUAUUUCUUUAUUAAAGGAGGAAGGUUCGGCUAAGCGAACAUAUAAGGAAUUGGAAAUAAAGCAUUAUUUAGAAGACGGAAUAUCCCUCAUCGUACACUUCGGACUAUGGAAAUCUUGUUGACGAGCAGAACACUUCAACUCCUUGACCAGCAAGAUCGAGGAUUGGCAUCAUGCAGUCCGGAAUUCGAGCAAAGUCUGAAAUUCCAAGUUCAAUCCACUCUCCGGGGUGAGAUUCAAGGAUGUGAAGAUCUCUUGACACCGUAGUAAGCCUGCGUUGCAUCCGGUUAAUCCUCUUCCGAAGUCUCCUCUUUUCCGACAUAAGCUUCCGGUGUUGAAGCUCGAGUGCCUCUAUGAACGCCGUCGCUGUUCCUUGGUCCCUGAUUGGGAGAUCCCUGAUCAAAGCACAUGGGGCUCGGAUCUGAGAUCUCAAGAUGCCGCGAAGUGGAGGAGGCCGCCUGUUUGGCUCAUUUGGAACAUCUUCGCUCAUCAUUCCGAUUCUGGAGAAGUCAGGCAUAGAUUCUGAACAGCGAAGAUUGAACUCCAUACCUACUAAAAUGAAAAGAAUGGUGAGGAGUAAAGGGAAAUUGAGACUACAAUUUAUAGGAACCCCAUAUCCUUAGCAAGCUGCGGAUUCUAUCCAAAGAAUGGAGUGAUUCGCGGAGAGAUUUAUGCCUUCGAACAGAUCCUGCAUUAAAAGGCGCAUCUCCGAGAAUAUUUGAAAAGAAAGGAAAGUUGCAAAUAUUUCCAUAAAAUAAAAAGGGGCCGAAGCCCAUUACGAGUUUAAAAUAAGUGAAGAAGUUAAAGAACAUUUAUGGGAGAGGCUCAGGAACAGGCUCCUUCAUCGCCGGUUUAGUCUUCGAAGUGGACGCCUUGUUCUUGACAUCCACUUCGGAACGAUCCCGAACGCGUUUCCGACAGUUGCUGGCCUCCUCCUCCAAAUCGUCUUCCUCUUCACUGUCAGAUGGAACGGCGCAGACAGGGGCGUUCACGGGACCCGGAACUCCUUUGGCGCGAAGAUACAUCCGAAGCAUCUUCGGGAUCUUAGCAACAGAAUCGAAAUUCCGCCAUUCCCAUUGGAAGGGAUCACUUUCCAAGGCCCGUAUCUUCCUCUCCACCCGAGCGAUGCGAGCCUCGAGUGUUUGCCUUUUGAGGCCCAGCCGCUGCCUCUCUUCACAUAAGCGACGGUGCUUGUCGGCCACCUAGCAUAAAGAUGAGUGAAUAAGAUGAAGCAAAAAGUUUUUGAGUCAAAAACUUUAAAUAUUUACCUUGUCGAUAAAGUCGCAAGCCUCUUUCUUCUCCUUUGAAGGGAAGUGAAAGACGGCGUGAGGAAAGAGAACGCCGGCCGGUUCAAAUCCGUCGCCGGACAAGAAAAGUGGGCUGCCGGGGUCGAUGGGGGCUACUCCUUCGUUUUCCAUUCUCAAAAUAUUUCUCAAGUAAGAUUCUAAAAUCGUGUGUAAAUAAAGCUUAGAAGUAGGUAAGCCUUUAUUUAUAAUGAUUUAGGGUUUGUCUUGGAACCAUAAACCCAAUAAUGGUAGUGUGUCCGAAUGGUUUAAACCAUUUUUGGAAAUCGAGAAAAGGCAGUUAUUGCAUUAAAGACGAGCCGUUUUCUUUACUUAUAAGAAGGGAAAGCGCAACCGUCGCAUUAACUACAAAAGUUUCUAAGAGCAUGAUUAUAGGUAGGCUCUUAGAAAUACCUCUUAGCAAUAUUUAAGUAAUUUAUUUGUAAAAGUGAUUGUUAAGAGAUAGUAUUUUUGAGUUAAGAUUUUUGUCUGAUUAAUGGUAGGCUCUUAACAUGUGGUUCUUAAAUAUUAAAUUUUUGAAAAUUAUUUUAGUGUAAAUGUAUGGAAUUGGUUUAUGAAAAAAGUUUUAAGUGUAUGAAAUUUGUGUUUAAGUUAAAGAGAUAUGAAUAACACACACCAUGAUGAUCCAAACUCAGUCAAAAGACAUAGCACCAUGAAGCGCAGUUAAAAAUGGAGAAAACCGAAAAGAGGAUGACUUUGUAAUUAUGAUGUCUCACACCAUGAAGGUAAUCAAGUCUCCGGUCUCGGAUGGAUUAUACGCAAUUCUCAUGGAGUUUUUCAGGAUUGUGGGAUGGGUCAAUUCCAAGGGAGGAUGACAACAGAAGAAGCGAAGUACACGGCUUUAAUAUGGGCAAUGCAAGCAGCUUGGGCACUAGGAUACCGAGCGGUCGAGUUCGAAGGAGAUAAUCAAAAUGUAAUCCGAAUAAUCAAUGGCUCUGCUUUGAACCCACGGCUCAAUCACUUCUUAAACACGAUAUGGGGAUGGAGAGAUAAGUUUCCGGAUGCAAAGUUUCUAUUCACGCAUCGUCAACAAAAUCAGUGUGCGGAUUUACUAGCAAAGACCAUUAGAACUUCUCCAAACCAAUGGUGUAUGUACCAUCAUGUCCAAUGUUUCUUAAUACCGUUGUAAACAAUGAUCUUUGAUAAGUUUUAAUAAAAAGCCAUUAGAAGGAAAAAAAAAAAAAAAAAAAAGUUAAAGAGAUAUGAAUAUAAUUUUAGUUAAAACUCAUAAACCAUAAAAAAUUUAUUCAUCUCUUUGUCUUCAGUUUACAUAUCAAAGACAAAUGUCCUCCAUCUUUUAAAUCAAAUCUAUAUUAUCUCUGUUACAUCAACACAAAGACUCAAAAUUGCAUUUUGUUUACUCGAAGAACAAGCACUUUUACUAAUGUUUGUCAAGUUUCAAAACGUUGUCACCGCAGAGCCGGCCAAGAUCUUCUUGUGUGAGCAGACUCCCCAUGCUUCACCUAUUCUUGUUUUCAUUCUUUCAACUGCACACAUGAAACUCAAACCUGAUCAAGAUUUUAAAACAUUGGACCAGUCAAAUACCCAAUUGACAAAAUCUGAAUUGCUUUCCCACUCCAGAUUUAGUAAAAUUAUCUAUACAAAACUUCCAUUGGUUGAUUUGCAUAUCAGAUACUAGACAAGGAAAACUUACCCGUGAGCAUGCUCGACAUCAAUAAUAAAACAAAAAUGCAGAGAAAUCAAGUAGUGCCAUGUCAAAAAGAACAUUAGAUUUUGUUAAAAUGUAUUGUAGUGAAUCACACCCCAUGAGAAGGAAACAUAUGAGCGAUCAUAAACAAUCUAUAAUAAACCAUAAUUCGAUUCAUCUCCACUAGUCUAAACUUGCUCCUCCUCCAUCUUCCUCAUGAAACCAAGCUUUUGAAACCGAUGGUGGAAGUCAAUUUUGAUAAUCAACACCGCUAAUCUAACUAGUAAUUUAGGCAUUCUAUUAUAAUUAGUGAAUUCUACUUUUCUUUUUCCCAAAGACUCAUCUUUACCUUUUGAUCAAAUUCAAAACCUCAAAGUAAAACACAUAAAUUUUGAUCAAAUUCAAGAGGAAAAUACCAAAUCCUUAACAGUUUCAACACAAAUCCCCAAUUCCAUGAAACCUACUUUCUAAAAACUCUAAUCACAUCAAUUCAUACAAUCAGAGAUAGAUUCAUACCAUGACAAACCGAGUUGGUGAAACAUUACCUCCGAUUUGCAAAUCGAAACUCGGAGAUCUUGUAAAAAUAGUCUCCGAUUUCGAAACCCCACAUCGCCGAUUAGGUUAACCGAAAACGCCGUGAACGACAAACGUCGGUGGAGAUGAUGAGAUUACAGCGGAAGGACGGCCGGAGGAACAUUGGAGAAUCCUCAGAUUGGUUUUGAUUUCUCUGUUUUUGUCUGAAGAAAUUGCGUAAGAGAGAGAGAGAGAAGAGAGAGAAGAAGAAACGAGAUUUUUGUCUCUUAACUAAGGAACGUCUCUUAGUUAUUUACAUCAUUUGGCAUUUAAUUUAAUUCUUAUAUUACUUAAGAUUUGGCUAAGAUUUGGCUAAGAGACUUACAAUAAUCAUGCUCUAAGGCCCAAGCCCAACAAGUUUAUCGAGUUGACUAAACCCGAAGUGGGGAACUCGCUUUAAGCCGAGCUCAGUUCUCGCAUUUUAAAGAGAAAGGUCUGAUCAGCCUAAAAAUCUCAAAAGCAUAACCACAAGGCCACAAAAGGUUAAAAAGCGGACUUUGCAAACCCGCAUAUAAUUUUAACCAAAUCCCCUUGGGUCGCAACCUAGAAAGGUUUAAAAACCUCUUCAGGCAAAUAUCUUGUUCAAAAGAAAAUAAAGCCUCCUUAGGCAAAAAUAAGUUCGAAAUUAAGUCUUAAAAAUUAAAGGGACAAUCCCCAAUUUAAAGUGGACACAGCCACUACGGAGCAGCAGCCACCUCGGAAUCCGGCUCAACAGUCGAAGCUUCAUUCGCCUCCUUGGCAGCUGCUUGGUCAGAUGAAAUUCUUGAUCCGCUCUCCACGGUACAACCAACCUCCGGAGUGACCUCCGGUACCAUAGGAACUACGGGCGGGACAACGUCUUCCGUCUCACUUGAGCCUAGGAAUAAUAAUUCCAAUCAAUCAAAGGUACAAGGUAAGAAAAGGUAAUAAAUAUCAGGAGCCAAGCAUUACCUGCCCAGUCUAGACCUGAUUCACUUAUAGGAGGCGAUUCAGUGAAGAAUUCCUCGAAGUCCUGAGGGUUGAAGGUCGAAGUAGGAAGAGCUGCCAAGCGACUCCGCUUUUCAGAAAGAUUAGCCGACAGUUCGGUUCUCUCUUGCUCCUCGGAGAAAUCUGUAUCAUGGAUUUGAUCCAGCAGGAUCAGGUUGCUCUCGUGCUCCUUGAUGUCCGAUUCCAAAUCAGACCUAGCCUUCUCAGUCUGCAUGAAUCGGAUGGCCCCUUGGAUCAACUCCAUCCUGCGUCCCUUAACCUCUUUUCUGGCUUUUGAUGCCGACCUCGCCAACUCGGAGUCACGCAAUUUGGCAAUCGCCUUGUACUUUGCGUUAAGCUCGAUGAGUUGGUUGUUCAGGGAAUCAGCGUUUGAUUCGGACUCUUGAAGCCUACCCUGAACACCAGAAAACUCUUCCUGGAGCUUGAAGUUCUGGUCGUACUGACCCUGUAGCUCCCCCUUUAUCUGCGCAAGCUCUGAUGUUAAACUGUCGACCUUGUCCUCCAGAUCGUGCUUGGAGCCGACAGAAGAGCUGAGUUCAGCCUCAAGGGCAGAGAGUUUCUUUUUCCACAUGUCAAUCUCCUUCUCCCGUCCAAUGACCAACCCUUCGUAAUGUUCGAUCAUGUCGUUAAAUUCGCUAUGAGCCUGGCAUUAUUCAUGAACCCGGGAUGGCGAGUUAGUUCGCGGAAUGGCAAUGCAAUAAAAAAAAAAACGGAACUAACCCGAGAUGAGUGAUGCGCGUGAAGCAAAUAGCGUUCACGAAUCGCAGGGCGCCAUUUGUCGAAGUCUGGCAGGAUCGAACCCGAUCGGGUCUUGAAGCAUCGGAAGACGCUGCCCUCUUUCUCCAUAGCUGCGAAGAAGGAAGAGUUGUAAAAAUUGGAAUUUUAAUAAAGACAAAAAGUUUAAGUAUGUGUAAAUCACCAAACCUGAAAGCGAUUUGACUUGAGGGACAAGAACAGGCUUCAGCCUCGAGGGAGCAUCUCGAGAUUCAGAAUCUCCACUUUUAGGGGAUGCACUUCGAGCAGUCUUUUCACUGACGGGCUGGGAAGAAGAAGACAUGUCAACAGGUCGGGGAGGACCCAUUGGUUCAGCAGAAGGGGAUGAUCGAGGUGAACGGUCAGUCCGGGCCCUUGAUUUCUCCCUUCGCGGAGACGAGUCAUCACGGGACGACUUGUCCCUCUUCUUACGAACCAAAUUCUUAAGAGGUUCGUUGCUGAAAUCGUCUCGGGGAGGACGAGGAGAAUCACGACGCGGAGACCGCUCUCUCUGAGGAGAACGCUCGUCGCGGCGUUCGCGGCGAGGUGUUAACCUAUAAGCAGCAACGGAUCUGGCUCCCUCGGAGCUGUUGUCAUCAACCAGCAGGGUCCUGCUGUAAUCUUUUUUGUCGAUGGCGGUCGCAAGGAACGCCUUGUUUUCAUCACAAGCCUCUGCUAUCGGUUUGGAGAGCUUCUUACGCUGGGCAGCGAGGGCCCGAGCUGACAUUCCCUGAGUUGAGGGAGGAGGCGGAAGACGAUGAAGUAGAUUGGGAGGACUCAUCCUGAGUUUCCGGUUGGCCUCGACAAAUCGGUCGAGGGUAAAAGAAUUCCAAAGGGUUUCCCCUUCAAGGAUUGUUUUGAAGAACUUGACAAAUUCUUCAGUCGGGAGAGUUGAAGCGAUGAAAGCUGCGAAAUGAAACAACGAAUUCGGUCAGUAAAAAAUAAUAAUAAACAAUAAAGGAAUAUACGACCUAGUCUCUACCAGGUUUCGCAGACCACUUCGAUGGGAGUACAUCGGAAAGAUUCCCAAUCGAAGCAGGAGUUUUCUUAAUCAGAAACCAAGGAUGGUGCCAGUUCUCAUCCUUGUUCGGGAGGUGCGAGAUGACGUUUCUAUUGGCAUUUGGAUACGCCGAGAAGUACCCAGUUUUCUUUGAUGAACUCCUUACGCUUAGGAGUUCAUUCAGCUCGGGGACUCCAAUGACGUAGCCAGCCUCCGCCGCAACGGUUAUAAUCCCGAGGAUGGUUCGGAGGAGAUUGGGGGUUAAUUGAGGUAAAGCGAUCUCAAGAGCCGCCAAGAAUCGAACUAGGGCUUCGGGAAGGGGGAAGGUCAAUCCGCAGCCCUUGAAGUAAAUUUCGUAAACACAAAAGUAGCCGGCACGGUGGUUCUCAGGAGAUUCCGUAGGGUCGGCUAUUUGCGCCUCCGCUAUAAUUUCAGGAGGAAUUUGACAAAGCCCCUUCAAUCGCUCAAGGGAUUGAAGAGUACAGGUGGAUUUGUAAUGAGGACCGGCGAUGUCGUUAGGACGAGUGCAUUCGUCAUUACUAGAACGCCUCUCGUCGUAAGACGGAGAUUCAGGUCUUUCAGAAUCAGAAGUCAUCGAAUAAAAAUGAAAAAUUCAAGAUCCGGCGAAGAGAGGUUUUUUGUGAAGAAGAGAAGAGAGAGUUUUUGAUUAAAGUACAAAAGUAAAAGAAGAGAGUAAUGGUGAAAAGAAGUUACCUCAAGCUAAUGAUGAAACCGCCUCGGAAGUCGUGUGGGAAGUGGGAAGGUUUUUCCCGUUUUAAUAGUAAUUAAUCAAUAUACCGUCAUAAUGAUGACAGAUGUCACUCGGUUAAAAAUGGCUAGUGCCGAAAUUAAAGGAGUGAUGAGAUUUUCGGCGGGAAAUCAGAAAGAUUCUCGAGCGCAAUCUUUGGCAACUUGAGCAUUUAAAGUCCUCCGAAUUGGAAUAGCACUUCGAAGAACUUGGGGGGCUAAUUGUUGGUGUCGGAUCCCGCACCAGAAGUACGAGACCAACCAAAGAUUGCCACGUAAUCAAGAUAAUGGCCCAUAAAGGAUGAAGCCCAUUGGACCCGUGAGCCAAAGGGACGGUCGAAGUGGUUGUCACCAUUUCGAGAAUCCGAAGUGACUGCACUGUGACACGAGUUCGGUGUAGAAGACACGGGAAAGUCGGUUCAAGGACACUUGGGCCAAAAGAGGCGAGGCCCAUAAAGAUCAGAGUCAACUCAAAUUCAAACGUUGAGCAUUAAAGUCGAAGAAUCAAAACGGACACAUUUAAGAAGGAAUAAUUGUACUUAAUUUCUCAUUUUAAUGUCGUUUAUCUAUGUAUAAAUAUAGAGGCCAAUGGCCAUGUAAAGGGGGGCUUCCUCUCAAAAAAGAAAUACAAUAGCAAUUCUCGUAGCAAUUUAUAAGUUUUUACAUAUUCAUUUUUUGUCCCUCAAGAAUAAUCUUUCCUACUUAAUAAAAUACUUGAGUGUGUGAAUCCGAUAUCCACAUUUUGGCGCCGUCUGUGGGGAUCGAAGGUUCUUGAGUGGUCAGAUUUUUUCUUUUUCACACUUCCGAGAUAAGCAACAAUGUCCGGAGGAGACGCCGCUAAGACAUCAUUGGCCGAAACCCUCAAAGCUAUGCAGCAAACCAUGUCGGACAUAUCACAAAAGUUCUCGGAUGUGGAAAAGGCCGUCGAUACGUUGCAAACAUCCCAGGUAUCUCUUAGUCAAAACGUCAAUACUAUACAAACUCGUGUUCGUUCUUUAAGUGCAGGAAACCCGAUGGGAAUCCGAAGAGAGAUAUUCAACUCGCCAAGUUCCGCUGCAUGAAAUGAAACCAGCGGACAAACAACCCCCGGUGCUACUAAUAAUGUAGCUCAGACGUUGGAGGAAGAGACGCAGCUCGGGGAUGAAGAACAACUUGCAGCUCAGUACGAGCAGGAGAACCUCGACCAGUUCGAGACCAUGAGGAAGGUUAGCCAGGAAUUAAAAGAAAUGAAAUCAAAAUUUCAUCAAGCUACAAGUUCAGAGCCAGACAUCAAUCGAGUCAUUGAAGAGGCUAGGCGAACACCUUUCAUCUCGGGAAUAGCAAGUUUGAGGAUCAAAGAUUCCCGAAAACUCAAGUUGGACCCUUACAGCGGAUUGGAGGAUCCAAAAAACUAUCUCGCAGCUUUUCUGAUCGCUGCAGGAAGAGUCGAGUUGGAUGAAGCUGAUGAGGACGCAGGCUACUGCAAGCUUUUUUUCGGAGAAUCUAUGUGGCCAAGCUCUAAUGUGGUUCACCCAAUUAGAGCCGGGUUCGAUCAGUAAUUUCGACGAACUAUCAGCCGUAUAAUUUAUUUCAUCAUUAUAAGAAUAGCACAAUUAGAAAGACUAACGAGGCAUUCCGGGCCGACUGCCUUUGAGAGCCUUUCCCCUGGUUCCAAUCUUAAAUCUCAACAUGAGAGACCCAAAAUCCAUCAAAAACCAAAAUACAAGAGGUUUUGAGGGUAGCUUUUUUUUUUUUGUUUUUUAAAUGAUAUCUCUUCCUUUAAUUUGAUGCUUUAAAUUUAAUUUUAUUGGUUUCUAAUCCUUUUUCCUUCACUAAUAUUUUCGCUUAAUCGAAUUAUGCUUAGUAGCUCUUACCACCAUUUAUUCUAGAGUGAACCUAAUUGACAUCAAAUUCAUGUGUGAGAUCAUAUAACUCUUUGUGGUUUCUUAUGCCUUUUUGUAUUUAUAUCUUAUAGUUUUUUUUUUUAUAUGUUUCAAUUUGUUCAAGUUUUUAUGAGAUCAUUACAUUUGGUAGUUUCUUAUGUUUUUGUAUUUGUCUUUUCAUGGAAUUUCUUAUGUUCAAUUUGUCUCAAAUUUGAUUUUGAACCUUCAUGUGAGGUCAUUAUAUUUUUCUGGUUAUCUAUAGUUUUUAUUUGUUAUGUAUUUCAUGAAAAAAUAGAAGUCAUCAUCCUUAUAAGGUAAAUUACUUACGAUUAAAUUUUCUUAUGAAAUCAAUUUGUAUAUCCUAUACAUCACUUUUAAUAUAAUUGAUGGUGUUAUUUUUUUCUUUUGUUUUUUUAUGUCAUUUUCUAAGUAUAUUUCAAUCCAUAAUGUCAUAUUUUAUUACGUUUAUAAUGGUAAGAUUUGCUGUGUAAUAUAUAUAUAUAUAUAUGUUUUGUGUAUGCAGACUAUAUUGUUGAAAAUAUUUCUAUAUGAUGAUGAAUUUUGUUUAGCUAACAAUUCUAAAUAGGUGACAAUUUUUCAAAAUCACUAAAUACAAUUUCAAAUCUCAUAUAAAAAAUAUUUUCGAAAGAUAUUCUACACAUAUACAAAAUGCUCUUUUGUUUUGCCAACGUGAGCCAUUUUUGUUUUCUUCCGUUAAAAUAAAUUAUCAUGAAAAAUUAAUUUUCUGAUUAAGCGGUAUAUAUUCAAAAUAUAAAUUUAACAAUCUUCAACUUAGCAAUUUUCAAUAAUUACUCUCACAUCUUAUAUAUAUUUUCCAUUUUACUAUCAUUUAUAAAAUUGAGAAUUAACAUAUAUAAGAUGUUCUAAUAUUUGUUUUAAGUGAUAUGUGCCAUAUUUUUCUUAUUUUGUUUCUAUUUUCACUUUCAAAUAAAUAUUGAGCAUCCUUACAGCCUAUUAUUAAUAAAUGAUUUCUUAUUAAUCGAGCAUUAAUUGUAUAAAUGACCUCAUAAUGAUGUUUAAGUUGCCUACAUUUUAAAUAACUAUUUCGACAUUUUAUAUAUUUUAAAAUUUUAUAUACCUAAAUUUUCAUUAUUUUAAAGUAAACAUGUAACAUAAGGGAUAAAGACAAUAUUGAAUAAGCUCUUACAGAUUCAAUUUUAAAACACUUAUGAAUACUACCGUUUAUAAUUAUGACUACGCAUGCUUAUAAUUUUCUUUCUAAUUUAAAAGACUAAUAGCUAUGUGAACUAACUAUUACAUGAAUUAUUAAUAAAUCAAAUUAUCAAAAUGGAUGCAAGAGAUAUAAAUGAUAAUUUAACGUAACAUCCAUGUAUUGUAAUGAUACUACUUGACAAUUUUUCGUAAAAUAUCGAUUAAAUAUUUUUCAUAAUAUCUUAAAUCAUUAUGUUUCUAUUAAAAUUUACCACUAAUGUAUUGUCUUUACAUUUUCUUAGCUUUAUAUAAUCCAACAUUAUUUUGUAGUACUUUAAUUCAAAAUUUUGUUACCCUCUAUAGAUACACAUAAGUUACAAAAAAUUUCACUACAUUAUUUUACAAUUUAUUACAAAUUUGGCAAAAAUAAUAAUAAAUUAUUUGUUAAAUUUAUUUAGUUACUAGGAUUUAAGAGUACUGUUUUGUUUUCUAUAAUUGUGGUAUAAAUUCUAUUUGUGAUGGUAAUAUUGUAAUAAUCAACAAGUAUUUGACUUUUAAGAUAACAAAAUAUUAUCUCAACUCACUAAUUUUUUCACUUCUUGUCCACCGUCUUUUUUUUUUUUACACAAAGCCCUCUCAUUAUUUUUCCAAUCUCCCUCGAAAAUGUUAAUUCAAAAGUCUUUCAAAUAUAUUGAUGAUGUUUUGUCAAAUCAUAUGAUUUAUUUAAACAUGUAAAUUACAACUUUUUAAGUCAUUGUAGAGAAGAAAUAAAUUGGAAGAUUUGUUUACUAAUACUUUUAAUGAAUAAUUUGAAAGCUUUUUGUUAAUAUUUUCUUUAUAAUACAGGUUAUAAUAAGCUUUUAAGUUAAACUAAUUUAGUUUUCUUACGGUAAAAUAUAUUCAAACUAUUCCCACGCAUCGCGUGGGUCUUUUCUAGUAAAAUGAUAUAAUAGAGUUUUACUCACCAGACGAGCAUUUCUCAUCCCAGACAAUUAUCCGGUGGUCAAAAACAGAGGAUCGCGAUUGCUCGGGCUAUUCUCAAGGAUCCUAAAAUUUUGUUGCUUGAUGAAGCGACAAGCGCGUUGGAUGCAGAGUCUGAGCGGGUGGUGCAAGAUGCGCUUGAUCGGGUGAUGGUGAACCGAACCACGGUUGUGGUGGCUCACCGCCUCACUACGAUUAAGGACGCGGAUGUGAUCGCGGUUGUGAAGAAUGGUGUGAUCGCAGAGAGUGGAAGACAUGAGACGUUAAUGGAGAUUUCAGGUGGUACUUAUGCAUCACUUGUAGCUUUUCACAUGAGUGCAAACUGAGACAAAAUGUUGUCAAUGAGAGCAUAAGCUGGCAAUGUUGGAGUACUCUCUGGAUAAAGUUAAUGUUUACCAGAACCGACUUGCUUUUACGUUGGUGUGGCUUCUGUUGCUUUUGGAUCUUCUUACUAUCAUCUUCACCCAAACGAUGCUACUCUCCUCUGGUUUUUAUGUGUAGAAAUUAAUGAUUAGUGUUGAUUAUUUUGGUUAAAAUGUAGAUUUACAAUAUUCUAUUACUUAAAUUUGUAAUCAUAGAGACUAAGAUUCUAGUGCUUAAUUAUACUUUAAGUAAAAUUAUAUUUGAUAGCUUUGUCAAUCAAUUUUCUUUUAAAGAGAUUUCCUGUCUUUUUUGGUCCUGUAAAUCUUUGAAAUAAAGAAAUAUAUAGCAAUUCAUUUUUAAAAAGUUCAAAACGUACCAAAGCGGUUCAUGUCGAGCCGGACCACUGUAGUCUCAUUACAUAGAUUGAUAAAAAGACUAGUAAAGAAAGAGUAAUAUGGAAAAUUGGCCUAGGCCAUGUAAAUCGAUACCAAGAUUCCUGGAGAGGAAGAGGUUGUCAACAUAUGCGAUCACUGAUGCGGAUGCAGAAACAUAGCUUUGAAUAUGUAUCUUGGCCGUUUCCUCUGAGAACGUGAGGAAUUCGUUGAUUCUCCGCGAAUACCGAAUUCUACGUCUUCUUAUAAUCGUUGAGAUCUCUCGAGAUCUACCGAAAACAAGGAUUAGAGAAUACUCUUCUCUGAAAAACUAAAAGCUCUUUAAUUUUAUUAAUCAAAUCAAUUGUAUACAACCCUAGGCCUAAAAGCCUUAUUUAUAAUAAAUCUAAAAAACUCUAGAAUAUUCAUAAAACAAUAAAUAGAAAUUAUCUAAAUAAAGAAAUAGAGAUAUUAGGAAAUAAUAAAGAUAUUUGGAAUUAUCCUAAUUCUACGCUGCAUCAGGUCUCGCCGGCCAAGAAAAGAUUCGUCCUCGUAUCUUGUAACUGCGCUGCAUCAGCUCUCGCCGGCCAAGAAAGAUUCGACCUCGAAUCUUCAGCAGGGUUUUCAGCAUUGGAGAUCUUCGCAGAUCCAUCUUUAUCUUCAUCUCUUGAUUUUUCCCGAUUUUUGCACGAACUGGAUCAGACCCGAAAGUUGCACGAAUCUGAUUUGACCCAAAAUUUGCACGAAUCCGUUUUGACCCAAAUUUGCACGGACCGGAAUAUGUACGAAACUUGCACAGAUCUGAUCUUUCAUGUUUUCUGCAGGAAACCCGAAUUUUGCACAGAUCUGACUACGCCCGGAUUUUGCACGAAGAGUAUCUUGCCCGAAUUCUGCACAGAUUUUCUCGAACGCACCAUCGCUGAACAUAAAAUCGACAUGAUCAAUAAGUAAGACAUCAUCAUCUUCAUAGAUAUCGUAGAUAGGAUCACCGUAAAUUUCUAUGUAACCAUCUUCAAACAAACUUUCUUCUGCAAAGGGAUAAAAGUUACCACUCAACAUGAUCACCAGAAUCGUUCUUCGAUUGAGAAAUCAAAGAGACAGAGCUCUGAUACCAACUGAAGUAGCGGAAGCUUUAAGGAUAGAACUAGAGAUCCGUUGAUUCCUCGGAAUACCGGAAAACUAGGGUUUGAGAGUCCUCCUCUCAGGGCUUUCGCAAAAGCUCUUAGGGUUGUGAAUACUCUUCACAGUUGUUUAUCAAAACCUCUUUAAAUCUUUCGAUUAAUCAAUUCAUCAAUAACUUCAUACAAUAGGAGGCCUAAGAAGGCUAUUUAUAAUAAAAGCAUAAAACCCUAAAAUCCAUAGAAUAUUCUAGAAUAAUUAUAAUUAAUAAAUUAAAAGAUAAUAGAAAUAGAUAUUUGAAAUAUUUCCAAAUAUCUCGCUGCAUCAGGUCUCGCCGGCCAAGAAAAGAUUCGUCCUAGAAUCUUGUAUCUGCGCUGCAUCAGCUCCCGCCGGCCAAGAAAGAUUCGUCCCCGAAUCUUCAGUAGGGUUUUCAGCAUAGGAGAUCUUCGAAUAUCUGUCUUUAUCUCCAACUUUUGAUUCUGCCCGAAAUUUGCACGAACCAUAUCUGAACCGAAUUUUGCACGACUUGUAUGUUGCACGAAAUUCGCACGAAUAUCUUCUUGUACGAAUUUUGCACAGGUCGGAUAUUGCACGAAAUUUGCACAGAUCGGACUUUCCAUAACUUCUGCAAAAAACACGAAUUUUGCACAAGUCGAAAUUCGCCCAGAUUUUGCACUGUUCUGAUUUCGCCCAUAAUUUGCAGAAAUCAGAAUCUCAAAAGCAUCUUCUAGAAAACCCAAAUCGAUAUCUAUAACAUCUUCUUCAUAGAUAUCAUAGAUGGGACCACCAUAGAUCUCUCUGUAGAUCUCAUGGUUUUCUUCUUCUUCAGAAAACAGACUUUCGCCUGUGAUAGGGUAGACGUUUCCGGUCAACCGUUUAAGGAUAAAACUAGAGAUCCGUUGAUUCCUCGGAAUACCGGAUAACUAGGGUUUCUCGGAUCUGUUGAUUCCUCAGAAUACCAGAAACGAGAGAACGUGAGGAAUUCGUUGAUUCUCCGCGAAUACAGAAUCCUACGUCUUCUUAUAAUCGUUGAGAUCUCUCGAGAUCUACCGAAAACUAGGAUUAGAGAAUACUCUUCCUUGAAAAGCUAAAAGCUCUUUAAUUUUAUUAAUCAAAUCAAUUAUAUACAACCCUAGGCCUAAAAGCCUUAUUUAUAAUAAAUCUAAAAAACUCUAGAAUAUUCAUAAAACAAUAAAUAGAAAUUAUCUAAAUAAUUAAAUAGAGAUAUUAGGAAAUAAUAAAGAUAUUUGGAAUUAUCCUAAUUCUACGCUGCAUCAGAAGAAGAGAGCCAAAUCCUGUAGAAGCAGCUAGCUGAAUAGCCCACCCAUGGUGCGGACCAAACACCUGAUUGUAAGCUUUAUAUGCUGCAUCCUUUAGGGGGCUAUCAGCUCUACAAAUCAUAUUCAAACACAUUUAAAAUCUUUUGAUAUUGACCCAAAAAGAAUAGUUACAACAAGUACUCAGCUAGCUAGCAUGGAAUUAUUGCAACACAUUUAUAUUGUGUUAAUAUAUAGGAGCAUAACCAAGUGAUGGUAGUUCAAUGGUUAGGGCUUAUUCGUCUAUAACAGUAAUUGUUUUCCCCUGGAUGCACAUUCUUUUUUAGCACUACGGAUCGACUAAUCCCAUAGGAGCACACCUGCAUAUCUUCUUAAACAUCUAGAAUAGUGAGAGGCGAGCCCAAGGCCAUACUAGUGAGAGUGCAUAAACCCCAAACAAGCCCAAAGUCCAUAAGCAUCAUUUUAAUUUUUAAGCGAAUGCAAAUUUACGCCUUAAGUCUUAUGUUUAUUAGGGAUAACAAUGUGGUCCUAACAGUAUAUAAGAGAUAUAGGCCAUCCACUAAUUGCUAAUUGAUUUUGAAUUGGAAGCCCAUAUUCUAAUAAUGUUGUCUUCCUACCAUCCGGCCACCAUCCUGAGGUAGGAAAAUAUGUUCCUAACUGAUAGGGCUCGAACCUAGGCCCCCAAGCACAAAGGAACCCCUAGACCACGAGCCUCUCAACACCAGUACAGAAUUCACAUGGUGAGUAUAGAUUUCAAAGAUUAGUUUAGAAUUUCAGUUACAAAAAUGAAAUAUAUAAAAACUUGGAAUGACACAUAUGGAAGAUGGCAAGGCUCGAUUGAAGAUGUCGCAAAACUCACAAAUGAGAGUCUAGAGGAACACUUACUCAGUGGCUAAUGUCUCUUCACAUAGAACCCUUAUCAUUUCUAGACCACGCUUUACCCUCAAAAGGUUUCUUGUAUGACUACCAACUUUCCUAACACGUUUUGCCUCAAUAUCUCUAUCAACCAUUGCCUCUAAUGUCAAUGUUGAGGGUGAUGCCUUGGCAAGAUCAUUAACCUAAGCAAAGAUUUUAUUUCAAUAUUUCCAGCCAGUUAGUGGGAACACAAUGAACAAUUCGUAAAGAAAAGACACGAAGGAAAAAAAAAAAAUCUAACAUUUCUAUACAGAACUUUAUAUUCUGUAUAACAAUGUCUUCAAUAUAUUUCAUGAAUACUACUCUCGGC
Molecule: long non-coding RNA, 47492 nt
Filed under: Arabidopsis lyrata
Lineage: Eukaryota; Viridiplantae; Streptophyta; Magnoliopsida; Brassicales; Brassicaceae
Description: long non-coding RNA (ALYR_LNC000373)
Source: RNAcentral